This 64369-nucleotide long non-coding RNA is filed under the name Lactuca sativa (garden lettuce). RNAcentral describes it as "long non-coding RNA (LSAT_LNC000977)". Lineage: Eukaryota; Viridiplantae; Streptophyta; Magnoliopsida; Asterales; Asteraceae. The record is from RNAcentral.
GCUCUGAUACCACUGAUGGGUUUUGAGCAUUCUAACACUUCCUAAGUGUACAUGCAACCCUAAUAACCUUGGAUCUAUGUUUGUCUAAUUAUCAUGCAAAGUUGAAUUCCAAGGUUAUAUUCCUAUCUAGCAUACAUGGGGAACAAUUUUAACUUGAAUCAUAGAUAGAAUAACUUACCUUGUUGUUGCUUGUGUUCCUUGAAACCUUGUGAGCCUAGCACCCCAAGUGUGAUGCCUCAAAUGCUUCACACAACACCAAAUGCUCUUGGAAAGACUCUUGAGAUAACACACACUUCUCAAAAUCGGCCAAGCCCUCUAGUUCCUUAGUAGUGCCGAUUUUUGGUGGAGAAUAUGCUUCUUAUAUAGUGUUGACACAUCUAGGGUUACACCAUGUAAACCCUAAUGUGUCAUGACUCUUCAUUUCCAUGACCCAUGGGUUUGUAACUCCCAUGGAGCAUCCAUGGAGCAUCCUAUGGGUAGAACCCAACUUGAUAAUCCAUGGAGCCUCUUAGCCCACUAUACAAGAUAUGGAUGAUUUACAUAAUCAACCCAUAUAUUUAAUUAGUUAUCCUUUGAUCACUUAAUUAAUUCCAAAUUAAUUCUUUGAUCAACUAAUCAAAUAAUAUUAUUAAUAUAUUAGAACUUAUAAUAUAUUAAUAAUCUCCAAGUGUUAUUUCUCUCAUUUAGUCUAUCCAAUUGCAUGGUGCCAUGCAACCCAAAUGGACCAUGCCGGGUCGGGUCAAGUACAAGCCCGAAAUAGUUAUGGACUUAGACACCUUAUCCAACAGUUUCAACCGGUAACUUGCCUAGCAUAUCAGGGUGCUGGCCUACCUCUUCGGUCCUUUCGAUCGGUACCUCGCCUAGCACAUCAGGGUGUUGGCCUACCCCUUCUGUAACGAUGUAAAAAUUUAAAACAAAUUUUCAUUUAAAAAAAAACAACCAUAACUCAUAUAAUAGUUCUCAUAAUCUCAUAAUGUCAAAUGUCAUAAUAAUAACAAAUCCCAGAAUCUCAAACAACUCCUCUUCCAGUGUGUACAGAUCAUGUCGGCACCUUCCCGUGAUCCUCGCUAGUACCUGAAACACAUAUGCACAUAACAAGGUAAGCAUAAAUGCUUAGUGAGUUCCCAAAAAUACCACAUACAACACAUACGACACUCAAGGCUAUAUCCCAGUACGACCCUCCGGUCGAUGUGUCUCAGCGGGACCCUCCGGUCCAGUCUGAUUGAGGACCCUCUGGCCUCUUGAGUCGUUGGACCCUCUAGUCCGGUCUAUAUAACACAUAACAUACAUAUAGCACAAUACAUAUAAUCUCAAUCAUACACAUAAUACAUAAGACCCUCCGGUUUGCGUAUAACUACCACUCUAGGUAAUGUAUAGUGAGAAGACUCACCUCGUAUGAAGUCGGAUAAACUCUCGUGCUCGAAUAUCCCGACCUAAGCUCCUCUUAUCAACAUGAUAACAUCUCUAAUCACCUUGUAUGAACUCGAAUAAAGUAUCGUGCUUGGACCCUCUCCGAUGUUGCCACUGGACCUGAACCAGGGGCACCUCCUUGUUCCUCAGAACCUUGAUCCUCUGAUCCAGGAUCCCGAUCGGCUUCUCAACAUAAUUCAGGCGCGAAUCCACCUGAAUAUCCUCUAGUGGCACUACCGCCUACUCGUUGGCUAUACACUUCCUCAAAUGAGACACGUGUAAGGUAUCAUGUAUCUGGCUCAACUCCGUAGGUAGCUCUAAAUGAUACCCUACCCUACCUACCGUCGCGGUCACCCUGAAAGGACCAAUGUACCGGGGGUCCCAGCUUGCCCCUCUUCCUGAAUCGGAUCACUCCUUUCCAAGGAGAUACCUUUAGGAGUACAAAGUCACCAACCUGAAACUCGAGCUCGGAUCGUCGCCUAUCCGCAUAACUUUUAUGACGAAUCUGAGCUGUCAGCAACCUUUGUCUGACCUGCUGUAUCUGCUCAUUCGUCUGAAGCACUAUCUCAGUGCUACCCAUCACUCGCUUCCCUACCUCUCCCCAACAGAUGGGAGUCCGACACCUCCUCCCAUACAACAACUCUAAGGGAGGCAUACCAAUACUCGAAUGGUGGCUGUUGUUAUAGGAAAACUCAGCCAAUGGUAAGUACGUGUCCCAACUUCCUCUGAAGUCCAACACACAUGCUCAAAGCAUGUCCUCGAGCGUCUGAAUCAUCCGCUCACUUUGUCCGUCUGUUUGUGGGUGGUAAGCGGUGCUGAAAUGCAACCUCGUACCCAACUCCUCAUGGAACUUCUUCCAGAACCUGGAAGUGACACGUACGUCUCGAUCUGACACAAUCUAGAUUGGCACCCCAUGCAACGACACCACCUCCCUUACGUAUAUCUCCGCCAGCGUCUCUGUGGAAGAGCUUUCACUGAUAGCAAGAAAGUGAGCGCUCUUCGUCAGCCAGUCAACGAUCACCCAAAUUGCAUUGACACCCCUCACGGUCCUUGGCAAUUUGGUGAUGAAAUCCAUAGAUAUCUGUUCCCACUUCCACCGGGGAACCUCAAGUGUCUGCAACUUGCCAUGCGGACGUUGGUGCUCGGCCUUAACCUUGCGACAGGUCAAGCACCUCUCGACAAACCACGGCACAUCCCUCUUCAUACAGGGCAACCAAUACUCCCUCUUUAGGUCUAAAUACAUCUUAGUGGCCCCGGGAUGGAUCGAGAACCUUGAUAUGUGCGCCUCCUCCAUCAAGAUGGUGCGUGUCCCGCCCGCAAACGGUACCCAAAUCCGACCCUGAAAGGUCAAAAGCCCUCGACUAUCAGUAACGAACUCAGAUACAUGCCCAAUCACCCACUCUCUCUUGCGGUUCUCUAGACUCACCGCCUCUGCCUGGGCCUCUUGUAUGGUACCCAACACCGGAGUCAUCACUAUCAUCCUUAUACAAAUGUAUCGUAUCGGGGGACUCUCCGCCCUAUGGCUCUGGGCAUCGGCUACAACGUUAGCCUAGCCCGAGUGGUACAGGAUUUCGCAGUCAUAAUCUUUAACCAUAACCAAGCAUCUCCUCUGGUGCAUGUUCAGGUUGGGUUGGUCCAUCAAGUACUUCAAACUCUCGUGGUCCGUGUAGAUGAUACACCAAAACCCAUACAAAUAGUGACGCCAUAUCUUGAGGGCGAACACCACAGCCCCCAACUCCAAAUUGUGGGUGGGAUACCUCACCUCGUGAGGCUUCAGCUGCCUCGAUGCGUACGCUAUCACGUGCCCUCUAUGCAUGAGCACCGCACCCAACCCUGAUAUCGAUGCGUCACAAUACACCGUGAAAUCCUCCAUUCCCUCUGGAAGGGCUAACACCGGGGCUUCACACCGUCUCUAGCGAAGAGUCUCAAACGAGGUCUGCUGCUCUAGACCCCACGUAAAAGCAACGCCCUUCUGGGUCAGCCUGGUGAGUGGCACGAUAAUCUUGGAAAAAUCCUUGAUGAAUCUCCGAUAGUAUCCGACCAACCCCAGAAAACUCAGAAUCUCGGUGGGGGAUCUCGGCACCUCCCAACUCAUCACCGCGUCAAUCUUGGCCGGAUCGACUAGUAUCCCAUUCUGAUUAACGAGAUGCCCCAAGAACUAGACCUCUCGUAACCAGAAAUCACACUUGGAGAAUUUGGCGUAAAGCCUCUUCAAUCUCAAAACCCCGAGGAUCUCCCUCAAAUGCUCCUCAUGGUGCUCUCGGAAUCUCGAAUACACCAGAAUAUCGUCGAUGAGCACGAUCACCGAUCGAUCCAACGUCGGUCUGCAUACUCUGUUCAUGAGAUCCAUGAACGUUGUUGGAGCAUUGGUGAGCCUGAAAGGCAUCACCAUGAACUCGUAAUGCCCAUAACGAGUCAUAAACGCUGUCUUCUGGAUAUCCUCAUCACGCACCCUCAUCUGGUGAUAUCCAGACCUCAAGUCUAUCUUGGAGAACCAAGAUGCUCCUUGUAACUGAUCGAACAAAUCAUCGAUCCUCGGUAAUGGAUAACGGUUCUUGACCGUCAACUUGUUCAACUCCUGGUAAUCAAAGCACAUCCGGUGUGAACCAUCCUUUUUCUUGACAAAAAGGACCGGCGCUCCCCACGGCGGGCUACUCGGUCGAAUAAACCCCUUCCCCAGCAGCUCCAGAAGAUGCGAGGAUAACUCCUGCAUCUUUAACGGCGCAAGGCGAUAAGGCGCCUUGGCAAUAGGCGCUGCCCCCAGAACCAAGUCGAUGCAGAAGUCCACCUGCCUCUCGGGAGGUACACCCGAAAAAUCCUCGGUAAAAACAUUUGGGAACUCACGCGCUAUCGGAACAUCAUCAAUCGAACUCGACCGCUCUGCGGCCACUCGUGUAUCCAUCACAUAAGCUACAAACCCACUGCAUCCCUGUUGUAAACUCUGUCUCGCUCUGGCAGCUGAAAAAAAUGCUGAACCACAUCGGGUACCCUCGCCAUAUAUAGUCAACAUUCCCCCACUAGGGUCUCGUAUCGUCACCAUCUUCCGCUCGCAGUCUAUAACCGCCCCAAAUUGGCUCAAUCAAUCCAUGCCCACUAUAACGCAAAUGUCCCCCAUCGCAAUCGGAACUAGAUCUAUCGGGAACUCAACACCGAAGAUCUGGAGUACACAUCCUCGAAUCACGUUAGUAGCAUACACCGCUCGCUGGUCAGCUAUGGAAACUCGCAGAGGUCGACUCAACGCCUCUUGUCGAAUAAUGAUGUGCUGACCAAACGAUAACGACACAAAUGAUCGACUCGCACCCGAGUCAAAUAACACCAAAGAAGGUACAAAACUCACAAGAAAAGUACCUACACAUAUCAUAAUAUAAGCACAAUAUCUCAACUCAGCAUAAAUAAAUGAAAGAAUACAUACCAUCCACGACAUUGGGCGUUGCGCGGACCUCCUCCGCUGUCAACCGGAAGGCUCUCCCGCAAGCCUUUGGUGCCUCGGCCUUCACUGUCCGACCCUCAGUAGCUCGUGCAGUAGUAGGGGUAUAUCCCUACGCUGAUCCCUGUAACAACUAUGGGCACUCGGCCUUCUGGUGGCUGGUUUGGUUGCAAUGAAAGCAAACCGAGAAUCCCUUGGGGCAAUGCCUCGUAAAAUGCCCCUGCUUACCACACUUCUAACACACCCCAGCUCUGCACACUCCUUCGUGACUCUUGCCGCACUUCCCACAAGUGCGGCACUUCGAACCUCCAGAUCUCGAAUCAGCGGGCUUUGGUCGCUUGGCGGCCGGCUGAGCCUACGCCGAUUGUCUGUCCCUCAUCUAAGACUCAGCCUCCUCCCUGACCUGAGUCUCCGGCUCAAUCUCCCUCUUCCGUGAAUUUUCUUGGAGCUCAGCAAAUGUUUGGUACGACGAGUUCGCCACAAACUCACGAAUGUCCCUCCUCAGUAUGCUCAACUAUCGGCUCAUGCGUGCCUGCUCAGACGACACGUGCUCAGGGAAAAACAACGCCCUCUCGUGAAACAUCCGUGUGAUCACCGUCACGGACUCCGUCCCCUUCUUGAGGGACAAGAACUCCUGAGCCAAUCGUUACCUCUCCACCAGGGGAACAUAUUCACCCCUGAACAAGGUGGUGAACCUCUCCCAAGUUACCGCCGAAAUCUACGCAGUAGUGAAAUCUGCCGUCACAAACUUCCACCAGUUCUUCAAUCCCAAGCGAAGCUGGUUCAGUGCAAACCGAACCCUCAGAUGCUCCAGACACGAACAUGUGUAGAAGCAUCCCUCGAUAUCAGAAAUCCAUCUCAUUGCAGUAAUCAGAUCAUGUGUCCCAUCAAAAUCCGGUGGCUUCGUGUUGCUGAACUCCCGGAACAGCAACGAGUAACCCCCUUAAGGCCCUAGCACCAGCCACAACUGUAGUAGCUCCAGUAGCCGCAGCCUCAGUAACCGCUGCGUAUCUCUCUGUAACACCGUAAAAGAUUUAAAACAAUUUUUCGCAUUUUCAAACACAUUUUCCAAACACAUUCAUUAAUAAAAUGUCAUAGUAUCAUAUCUUUGUUUCACAAAACAUCCCCCAAGAUCGAAAUACAUAAAACCCCAUGUGUGUGUACGAAUCAAGCCGAUGCCUUCCCGCGGUCAACGCUGGUACCUGAAACACAUAACACGUAACACUGUAAGCAUAAGCUUAGUGAGUUCCCUAAAAUACCUCUCUAACAAAUUUCAGCCACUCGAGGCUAUAACUCUAUUGACCCUUUGGUCAAUGUGUCCCAGUGGGACCCUCUAGUCCUAACUCUCUGUGGGCCCUCUGGCCCUAACUCUGUGGACCAAAAGGUCCUAACUCUAUGGACCCANUCUAUGGAUCCACUGGUCCUACUCUAUAAACACUGAAUCUUGCAUAUCACAUACAAUAAAUCAUAACACAUAAAUAACAUGCAAAUACACUAGCACAUAACUCUAAAAUACACUGUCACAUAACUCUGUUACCACACUAGGUAAAGUAUAGUGAGAAGACUCACCUCAGGCGUCUCGGUAAAUCUCUGACUCGGUAGAAAUAUUGCCUAGCCUCCGCCUAUUCACAUAAAGUAAAUACUCUCAUAAAUAUAACUCUCGAGACUAGACUCAACCUUCCAUUGGCACCCUCAGAAGGGUAAAAAACUAUUUUACCCCCCUCUUGACACAAGGACUCCAUUGUUGACCAAACCCUAAAAGUCAACAAAAGUCAACGAUCACACAUUGACCUUACUCACCGAGUGCACUCUGGUGACUCGGCGAGUUCACACAUGUCCACUAACUCUUUGUCCCGCUUAGCACGUCGAGUCCCUCCCUAUGCUCGACGAGUCAUACCAGGGAUGAAUCGCGGGGCCACCCCUACUCAACUCGCCGAGUCUCAAGAACAACUCGGCGAGUACCGUCUUGAANCUUGAACUCCAGUCCUCUAACCCCCUUCUGACUCAUUGAGUCAUCCCCCAACUCGGCAAGUCUAUUCACUGAGUAAUUUACGUGAAACCCUAACCCUACUCGCCGAGUCUCAAGAACAACUCGGCGAGUUCAUGCCAUGCACAAACUCUAUUGACCUCCUGAGGUCAAAUCUGUGCCCCUAAAUCAUAGAUCUGGCCUCCCCAAGCAUGAAUGUCAUGCCAAGUCCGAAUCUUGAUGCUUAUAUAUCAACAACAAGGCAUCAAAAGGAGAUUUCGUCCCAAAAAUGGCAACCUAAUUCCAAUAACCCCAAACUGAUCCAUAAAGCUCCAAGGGUUAAGGUCUCUGGACCUCUUUGAGUCCAGAUCCAAGGCACAAACUCGAAGAGGGACCACUUGCUCCACAUAAUCACUCUCCAAAGGGGUUAAAAAACCCUAUCUCUAAUGAUCAACACCAAAACUAAAGGAGGUUCGAACUAUUACCUCAAAAUGAAGUCUCUGAACUCUGGAACUGCUAGAAUCGGACCUCCUCUUUGCUCUUGGUCACCUUCUUCUUGCUAAACCAAAGGUACAAGGAUCAAAAGUGACUUCUUCUUCCUCACAACGAUUUGGCUCACUCAGGGUUCUCUCAAGGGACUGGUAGCCGCAAUGGGAGGCUAUAAGUGCCCUUAAAUAGGCUCCAAACCCGGGGAAUUAGGGUUUCAUUAAACAUCGUGGACUUGCCGAGUCCGGACGUGAACCCGGAUGAACAUCCGCGACCAUACUCGACGAGUCUUGGAUCCAACUCGCCGAGUUCCUCCACAAACUUCAAAAUAAUUAAAUAAAAUAAUAUACUUGGGAAUCCGGAUGUUACAAUUCUCCCCCACUAGAAUCAGACUUCGCCCUCGAAGUCUCACUCUGGAAACAACUCCGGAUGCUGCUCACACAUCUCACGCUCUGGCUCCCAAGUAAGCUCUGACCCUUUCCAGUGCUGCCACUGGACUUGCACCAGAGGCACUUCCUUCUUCCUCAGAACCUUGAUAUUUCGAUCUCGAAUCGCCACCGGUCUCUCGACGUAGUUCAAGCCCACAUCCACCUGAAUAUCCUCUAACGACACUACUGGCGACUCAUCAGCUAUACACUUUCGCAACUGUGACACAUGGAAAGUGUCAUGAAUCUGACCCAGCUCUGCAGGUAGCUCCAGCCGGUAGGCUACCCUGCCUACCCUCGCGAUCACCUUAAAAGGACUGAUAUAUCAGGGACCCAACUUGCCCCUCUUCCUGAAUCGGAUCAUUCCUUUCCAAGGAGAGACCUUCAGGAGUACAAAGUCGCCGACCUGGAACUCGAGCUCGGCGCUUGUCCGCAUAACUCUUUUGAUGACUCUGAGCGGUCAAUAACCUCUGUCUGACCUGCUGUAUCUGCUCUGUCGUCUGAAGCACGACCUCUGUACUACCCAUCACACGCUGCCCGACUUCUCCCCAACAAAUGGGGGUCCGACACCUUCUCCCAUACAACAGCUCAAAGGGUGGCAUACCAAUGCUCGAAUGAUGGCUGUUAUUGUAGGAAAACUCUGCCAAAGGCAAAUACGUGACUCAACUCCCGCUGAAAUCCAACACACAUGCCCGGAGCAUAUCCUCGAGCGUCUGAAUCGUCCGCUCGCUCUGUCCGUCAGUCUGGGGGUGGUAUGCGGUACUAAAAUGCAGCCUAGUACCCAAUUCCUCAUGAAAUUUCUUCCAGAACCUGGAAGUGAAAUGCACAUCUCGGUCUGAGACAAUCGAGAUUGUCACUCCAUGCUGCGAUACCACUUCCCUCACGUACAUCUCUGCCAACUUCUCUGCGGAAGAGCCCUCACUGAAAGCAAGGAAGUGGGCGCUCUUUGUCAACCUGUCCACAAUCACCCAAAUUGCAUCGACUCCCCUAGCAGUCCUUGGCAAUUUGGUGAUAAAAUCCAUGGUAAUCUGUUCCCACUUCCACGCGGGAACCACCAACGGCUGCAAUUUACCGUGUGGUCUCUAGUGCUCAGCCUUAACCCUACGACAAGUUAAGCACCUCUCAACAAACCACGCGACAUCCCUCUUCAUACAGGGCCACCAAUACUCCCUCCUCAGGUCUAAAUACAUCUUAGUGGCCCCAGGAUGGAUCGAUAACUUCGACCGAUGAGCCUCUUCCAUCAAAAUGUUACGCGUCCCGCCCAAAAACAGUACCCAGAUUCGACCCUGGAAUGUCAUUAGCCCCCGACUAUCGGUAAUGAACUCGGAUACCAACCCAAAAACUCACUCUCUCUUCUGAUUUUUUGAUCUCACAGCCUCAGCCUGGGCCCCACGAAUGGUCUCCAACACCGGAGCCAUCACGGUCAAUCUCAAACAAACAUCUCACAUCGGGGCGCUCUCCGCCCUUCAGCUCAGUGCAUCGGCUACCACAUUAGCCUUACCCGGGUGGUACAGGAUCUCGCAGUCGUAAUCUUUUACCACAUCUAACCAUCUCCUCUAGAGCAUAUUCAGGUUGGGCUGAUCCAUCAAGUACUUCAAGCUCUUGUGGUCCGUGUAUAUGGUACACCGAACCCCAUACAGAUAGUGACGCCAGAUCUUGAGGGAGAACACCACUACCCCCAACUCUAGAUCGUGGGUGGGAUACCUCGUCUCAUGAGGCUUCAGCUACGUCAAUGCGUAUGCUAUCACAUGCCCUCUCUGCAUCAGCGCCGCUCCCAACCCCGAGAUCGACGCAUCAUAAUACACCACAAAGUCCUCCAUUCCAUCCGGAAGGGCUAACACCAGGGCUUCGCAUGGUCUCUGGCGAAGUGUCUCGAAGGAGGCCUGCUGUUCUAGGCCCCAUGAAAAAGCAGCACCCUUCUGGGUCAACCUGGUGAGUGGCAUGGUGAUCUUGGAGAAAUCCCUGAUAAUUCUCCGGUAAUAGCCUGCUAGCCCUAAGAAACUCUUGAUCUCGGUGGGUGACCUCAGCACCUGCCAACUCAUCACUGCCUCAACCUUGGCCGGGUCGACCAAUACCCCUUUUUGGUUAACGAGGUGCCCUAGGAACUGGACCUCUCGCAACCAGAAAUCACACUUGGAGAAUUUGGCAUAAAGCCUCUCCGAUCUCAGAACUCCGAGGAUCUCCCUCAAAUUCUUCUCAUGCUGCUCUCUGGAUCUCAAAUACACCAAAAUGUCAUCGAUACAUACUGUCACCGAGCGAUCCAAAAUCGGCCUGCACACUCUAUUCAUGAGAUCCAUGAACACCACCAGUGCAUUGGUGAGUCCGAAAGGCAUCGCCACAAACUCGUAAUAUCCAUAACGAGUCCUGAACGCUGUCUUCUGGAUGUCCUCAUCUCGCACUCUUACCUGAUGAUACCCAGACCUCAAAUCGAUCUUGGAGAACCAAGAUGCUCCCUGCAACUGAUCGAACAAAUCGUCGAUCCUCGGCAAUGGGUAACGGUUCUUGACCGUCAGCUUGUUCAACUCCCGGUAAUCAAUGCACAUCCGGUGUGAACCAUCCUUUUUCUUGACAAAAAGGAUAGGCGCUCCCCACGGCGAGCUGCUCGGCCGAAUAAACCCCUUCCCCAACAACUCCUGGAGCUGCGAGGAUAGCUCCUGCAUCUCUGGAGGUGCAAGGCAAUAGGGUACUUUGGCGAUAGGCGCGACCCCCGGAACCAAAUCGAUACUGAACUCUACCUGCCUCACGGGAGGCACGCCCAACAACUCCUCUGGAAAUACGUCCGGGAAGUCAUGCACUAUCAGAACCUCAUCAACUAACCUCGGUCUCUCUGAAUCAACCCUCGUACCCAUCACAUACGCUACAAAGCCCCUACAGCCCUGCUGUAGAUGCUCCCUUGCCCUAGCGGCCGAACAAAUUGUUGACCCAGAAAGUGUACCCUCGCCGUACACCGUAAGAACUCCCCCACUAGGGUCUCCUAUGGUCACCAGCUGUCGCUCACAGUCGAUAACCGCUCCGAAUCUGCUCAACCAGUCCAUGGCCACGAUGACACAGACAUCUCCCAUCGCAAUAGGAACUAAAUCAAUCGGGAACUCAACACCGAAAAUCUCGAGUACACACCCUCAGAUCACCUCUAUGGCAUAUACCGCCCUCUCGUCAGCUAUGGAAACUCUCAGAGGUCGACUCAACGCCUCACGGUUAACACUGAUGUGCUGACUAAAGCCAAAGAUACAAAAGACCGUCUCGCACCCGAGUCAAAUAACACCAAGGCAGGUACAUAACUCACAAGAAAAGUACCUACGCAUAACAUAAUAUAAGCAUAAUAUCUCAACAUCAAAAUAAAUACACGAAAGAAUACAUACCAGCAACGACAUCUGGCGCUGCGCGGACCUCCUCCGCGGUCAACUGAAAGGCUCUCCCUCGUGCCUUCGGUGCCUCGGCCUUCACUGGCCGGCUCUCAGUAGCUUUGAUAGCAGCAGAGGCAGAUCCCUGAGAUGCUCCCUGUGUUGAUCCCCACAGCUGUGGACAGUCUGCCUUCCGGUGUCCGGUCUGGUUGCAGUGAAGACAUACUGCAAACCCCUUGGGGCAAUCCUUGGCCAUAUGCCCCUCCUUGCCACAUUUGUAGCAAGACCCUGCUCUGCACACCCCAUCGUGGCUCUUGCCGCACUUGCCACAAGUGCGGCCCCUCUGGUUCCCUGAUCUCGAAUCAGCGGGCUUGGCCCGCUUGGCUACCGGAUGAGACUGUACCGGUCGCCGAUCCCUCCCCUGAGACUCAGCCUCUUCCCUAGCCUGGGUCUCCAGCUCUAUCUCCCUCUUCCGGGCAUUUGCCUGAAGUUCGGCAAAUGUCCGAUACGUCGAGUUCGCCACGAACUCUCGUAUAUCCCUUCUCAAAAUGCUCAGAUAUCGGCUCAUACAUGCCUGUUCGGAGUACAUGUGCUCUGGGCAGAACAUCGCCCGCUCAUGAAACAUCCUCGUAAUCACUGUAACAGACUCAGUACCCUACUUGAGGGUCAGAAACUCCUGGGCCAAACGCUCCCUCUCCACCUGGGGAACGUACUCAUCUCGGAACAUAGCAAUGAACCUCUCCCAGGUCACUGCAGCAAGCUCUGCAGGCGUAUAGUGUGCCGUCACAAACUUCCACCAAUCCUUUGCUCCCAAGCGAAGCUGGUUCAGCGCGAACCGAACUCUCAAAUGCUCUAAAGAUGAGCAAGUAAAGAAACACCCCUCUAUGUCUGAAAUCCACCUCAUCGCCGCAAUCGGGUCUUGGGUCCCGUCAAACUCCGGUGGUUUUGUGUUGCUGAACUUCUCGGAACAACAACGCAUCGCCACCCUGCGGCCUAGUUGCAGCUAUAGCUGUAGUGACCGCAUCAACAACAGCCUCAGAAAGAGCAGCGUAUCUCUCAUCAAAUGUAUCUAUCAGUGUGGGCUUGAUAGACCCGAACAUAUUUGGUAUCUCUGCCCUGAUGGCCGCUGCCACCUCCUCAUGUAUGAUCCUACGGAUCUCCUCGUCACUCGUACCACUGCUCCCUGGUGCGUGGCGUGUCCCAACCAUGAUCUCCCUCUCUCUGAAAUACAACACAAGAAUAAAUAUUAGGAAUUCGCUCGAGUGUACUCACACUCGAAUACUCCACCCUACUUGUCCCUUGGUACUCCAAGGAUUCUUACUUGGACUGUGCACUGACCCGGUGUCUUCAGUAGUACGGGCCCAAUACUACCGUCCACACCGCAUCAGCAUUCACCCCAAGUCCUCCUCCCAGAGUCCCAAAUCCCAAGUACUCUACUCUCUCUAAUAAUAUGAUACUCACUAGCAGAUCUCUCAUAAUCUCCUCGCCGCUACCUAAACACUCUGAAGUAUCCCUAGCAGGAAGACUCCUAGACUCAGGCAUCACAUAUCAGGCCACUCUAGUCCUAAUAAGAAUACCUAGUCUACUCUAGCAUGCAUAAUAUAGCUCAUCAUAUAAUAUAUCAUAUCAUAUCUCAUAACACUUAUUGUAAUGGUAUUUUGGGAAAUCACCGUUCGGGCGCUAGCUGUUCGUACACACGACUCUGCUCUGUUUUGUCUCAAAAGUUCUUCUUUUGAAAACUAUUUUAUUAUCGAAAUUUCCUCAAAUCCUCAGUUUGAGUUCAGAUACGCCCGAAGGUGCACCCGAAUCCCUCAAACCAAGGCUCUGAUACCAACUUGUAACACCGUAAAAAAUUUAAAACAAUUUUUCGCAUUGUCAAACACAUUUAGUAAUAAAUUCUCAUAGUAUCACAUCUUUGUUUCACAAAACAUCCCCCAAGAUCGAAAUACAUAAAAUCCCAUGUGUGUGUACGAAUCAAGCCGGCGCCUUCCCGCGGUCAUCGCUGGUACCUGAAAUACAUAACACGUAACACUGUAAGCAUAAGAUUAGUGAGUUCCCCAAAAUACCACUCUAACACAUUUCAGCCACUUGAGGCUAUAACUCUGUUGACCCUCUAGUCAAUGUGUCCCAGUGGGACCCUCUAGUCCCAAUUCUCUGUGGGCCCUCUGGCCCUAACUCUGUGGACCAAAAGGUCCUAACUCUAUGGACCCACUUGUCCUAGCUUUGUAAACUCUGAAUCAUGCAUAUCACAUACCACAACAAUUAUCAUACAUAAAUAGCAUGCAAAUACACAGGCACAUAGCUCUAAAGUAUACUGACACAUAAACCUGUUGCCACUCUAGGUAAAGUAUAGUGAGAAGACUCACCUCAGGCGUCUCGGUAAAUCUCUGACUCGGUAGAAAUAUUGCCUAGCCUCCGCCUAUUCACAUAAAGUAAAUACUCUCAUAAAUAUAACUCUCGAGACUAGACUCAACCUUCCAUUGGCACCCUCAGAAGGGUAAAAGACUAUUUUACCCCCCUCUUGACACAAGGACUCCAUUGUUGACCAAACCCUAAAAGUCAAUAAAAGUCAAUGGUCACACAUGCACCCUACUCGCCGAGUGCACUCUGGUGACUCGGCGAGUUCACACAUGUCCACUAACUCUUUGUCCCGCUUAGCACGUCGAGUCCCUCCCUAUGCUCCAUGAGUCAUACCAGGCACGAAUCGCGGGGCCAACCCGACUCAAAUCGCCUAGUCUCAAGAACAACUCGGCGAGUACCGCCUUGAACUCUAGUCCUAUAACCCCCUUUUGACUCACUGAGUCAUCCCCCAACUUGGCAAGUCUAUUCACUGAGUAAUUUAUGUGAAACCCUAACACUACUCGCCGAGUCUCAAGAACAACUCGGCUAGUUCAUGCCAUGCACAAACUCUAUUGACCUCCCGAGGUCAGAUCUGUGCCCCUAAACCAUAAAUCUGGCCUCCCCAAACAUGAAUGUCACGCUAAGUCCGAAUCUUGAUGCUUAUAUAUCAACAACAAGGCAUCAAAAGGAGAUUUAGUCCCAAAAAUGGCAACCUAAGUCCAAUAACCCCAAACUGAUCCAUAAAUCUCCAAGGGUUAAGGUCUCUGGACCUCUUUGAGUCCAGAUCCAAGGCACAAACUCGAAGAGGGACCACUUGCUCCACAUAAUCACUCUCCAAAGGGGUUAGAAAACCCUAUCUCUAAUGAUCAACACCAAAACUGAAGGAGGUUCGAACUAUUACCUCAAAAUGAAGUCUCUAAACUCUGGAACUGCUAGAAUCGCACCUCCUCUUUGCUCUUGGUCACCUUCUUCUUGCUAAACCAAAGGUACAAGGAUCAAAAGUGACUUCUUCUUCCUCACAACAAUUUGGCUCACUUAGGGUUCUCUCAAGGGACUGGUAGCCGCAAUGGGAGGCUAUAAGUGCCCUUAAAUAGGCUCCAAACCCGGGGGAUUAGGGUUUCAUUAAACAGCGUGGACUCGCCGAGUCCGGACGUCAACCCGGAUGAACAUCCGCGAUCAUACUCGGCGAGUCUUGGAUCCAACUCGCCGAGUUCCUCCACAUACUUCAAAAUAAUUAAAUAUAAUAAUAUACAUGGGAAUCCGGAUGUUACACUCUUGACAAACGUCUCAAUCAAGGUGGUCUUGAUAGACCCAAACAUCUCCGGUAUCUCUGUGCGGAUAGCCGCAACGACCUCAUCAUGGAUCAUCUGACGGAGCUCCUCAUCACUCACGUCGUUGGUCUCUGGUCUGUGGCGUGUCCCAACCAUGACGUCUCCGAAAUACAACAUAAAAUAUCAGAGACUUUCUCGAGUAUACUCACACUCGAUGACUCAACCCUACUUGCUCCUUAGUACCCUAAGGAUUCUUACUUGGACUGCGCACUGAUCUGGUGUUUUCAGUAGUAUGGGCCCUAUACUACCUUCCACACCGCAUCAACAUUCCUUCCAAGUCCUCCUUCUAGGAUCCCAGAUCACAAGUACUCUACAUCUCGCUAAGCUUAGGCAACCCUUUGGUAGACUUCUCAUACGCUCCUCACUGCUACCUACUCAAUCUCGAAGUAUCUCAUAGCAACAGUAAUCUCCUAGGCUAAGGCAUCACAAAUCAAGCCAUUCUAGUCCUAAUAGGAAUACCUAGCCUACUCUGGCAUGCAUAACAUAUCAUAUCAUAUCUCAAAACACAUAAUGUAAGGGUAUUUUGGGAAAUCACAGUUCGAGCGCUGGCUAAUCGUACACACUGCCUCUUUCCACUUUCCUCACAUUCCUUUACUUUUUAGAAAAAUUGUUUCUUUUAUGGAAAACUUUCUCAAAUCCUCAGUUUAAGUUCAAAUCCACUCAAAGGUGCAUCCGAAUCCCUCAAACCAAGGCUCUGAUACCAAUUUGUAACGUCAUAAAAAUUUAAAACAAUUUUUCAUUUAAAAAAAACAACCAUAACUCAUAUAAUGGUUCUCAAAAUCUCAUAAUGUCAAAUGUCAUAAUAAUAACAAAUCCCAGAAUCUCAUACAACUCCUCUUCCAGUGUGUACCGAUCAUGCCGACUCCUUCCCGCGAUCCUCGCUAGUACCUGAAACACACAUCACAUAACACGGUAAGCAUAUAUGCUUAGUGAGUCCCCCAAAAUACCACAUACAACACAUACGCCACUCAAGACUAUAUCCCAGUACGACCCUUCGGUCGAUGUGUCUCAGCGGGACCCUCUGGUCCGGUUUGAUUGAAGACCCUCUGGCCUCCUGAGUCGUUGGACCCUCCAUUCCGGUCUAUAUAACACAUAACGUACAUAUAGCAAAAUGCAUAUAAUCUCAAUCAUACACAUAACACGUAAGACCCUCCGGUCUGCAUAUAGCUACAACUCUAGGUAUUGUAUAGUGAGAAGACUCACUUUGUAUGAAGUCGGAUAAACUCUCGUGCUCGAAUAUCCCGAACUAGCCUCCUCCUAUCAACAAGAUAACAUCUCUAAUCAAAAUCCUAUCAUGUCCUCAUCUCUAAUAAUGGGCAGAAGACCAUUCUACCCUUCUCUGACCUCUCUUGAAUCAUCUUGACCAAAACCCCACGGUCAACUCGAGUCAACGAUCAAACUUUGACGAGACUCGUCGAGUGCACAUGAGUGACUCAGCGAGUCCAAGCGUGUCUUCUAAAUCCUUCUAAGGCCUCACUCGACUCGUCGAGUGAACCUUCCACUCGACGGGUCACCACUGGUCAUGAAUCGCGGGGCAAUCCCGACUCGACUCGUUGAGUUCUCUUAUGGAAUCGACGAGUUUCUACCAUAGCCACACUCAAAUGACCUUCUGAGGUCAGAUCUGUUUCUCUAACAUAUAGAUCUGACUUCUCAAUGCUCAAUAAUCACGUAAAGGUCCAAUCUUGGCACUCAUGCAACGUCCAUAACGCUUCCUUUGGUGAAAUAGCUUCUAAAAUGGCACCGUAGGUUCAUAUCUCCAAAGGAAUAGCAUAAAGCAGGAUGGUUGGGACUCUCUGGACCUCUUAAGGUCUAGAUCUAAGAGUUAUUCCACCUUGGGACCUCAAAAGCUUUGAAUCCAAGCUAAAUAAGGGGAAAGAAAACCAUAGAUUCAAGGGGAUCACCAUCAACACGAGAUUGAGCAUAGAUCCAUACCUAUAGUAGCCUCCUCUGAUAAAAUGGUAGCAGAUCUGAGCUCCUUAAGCUGUUUAGCUUGCCCUCCUUCCUUAUUCCUUGCAAAAUCACACUAGAGAUGAUGAAAAUGGCUUCCUCUCUCUCUCUCUCUCUCUCUCUCUACGUUCUCUGGUUCUAUGGUGCUCUCAAGGGUGAAGGUGGCCGCAAAUGAGGGCCAUAAGAUCCCUUAAAUAGGGCACAUACCCGAGGAUUUAGGGUUUCUGCCCACAACGCGGACUAGUCGAGUCGACUCCCCGACUCGUCGAGUCCCUUCAUUAAAUUCAGUCAGCAAAUUGCGAUCUUACUCCACGAGUUUAGGCGUCAACUCGUCGAGUCCCCCCUUUUGUCAAAAAUAAGUAAUUAAAAUAUGAUACCUGGAAUUCCGAAUGUUACGAUUCUCCCCCAUUAGAAUCAGACUUCGCACCCAAAGUCUCGCUCUGCAAAUAGCUCUGGAUACUGCUCCCGCAUCUCCAACUCCGGCUCCCAAGUCAGCUCAAACCCUGUUCGAUGUUGCCACUGGACCUGAACCAGGGGAACCUCCUUGUUCCUCAGAACCUUGAUCCUCCGAUCCAGGAUCCCGAUCGGCCUCUCAACAUAAUUCAGGCGCGAAUCCACCUGAAUAUCCUCUAGUGGCACUACCGCUGACUCGUUGGCUAUACACUUCCUCAAAUGAGACACGUGUAAGGUAUCAUGUAUCUGGCUCAACUCCGCAGGUAGCUCUAAAUGAUACGCUACCCUGCCUACCCUCGCAGUCACCCUGAUAGGACCAAUGUACCGGGGUCCCAGCUUGCCCCUCUUCCUGAAUCGGAUCACUCCUUUCCACGGAGAUACCUUUAGGAGUACGAAGUCACCAACCUGAAACUCGAGCUUGGAUCGUCGCCUAUCCGCAUAACUUUUCUGACGAAUUUGAGCUGUCAGCAACCUUUGUCUGACCUGCUGUAUCUGCUCAUUCGUCUGAAGCACUAUCUCAGUGCUACCCAUCACUCGCUGCCCUACCUCUCCCCAACAGAUGGGAGUCCGACACCUCCUCCCACACAACAACUCGAAGGGAGGCAUACCAAUACUCGAAUGGUGGUUGUUGUUAAAGGAAAACUCAACCAAUGGUAAGUACGUGUCCCAACUUCCUUCGAAGUCCAACACACAUGCUCGAAGCAUGUCCUCGAGCGUUUGAAUCGUCCGCUCACUCUGUCCGUCCGUUUGUGGGUGGUAAGCGGUGCUGAAAUGCAACCUCGUACCCAACUCCUCAUGGAACUUCUUCCAGAACCUGGAAGUGAAACGCACGUCUCAAUCUGACACAAUCGAGAUUGGCACCCCAUGCCGCGACACCACCUUCCUUACGUAUAUCUCCACCAGCCUCUCAGCGGAAGAGCUGUCACUGAUAGCAAGGAAGUGAGCGCUCUUCGUCAGCCGGUCAAUGAUCACCCAAAUUGCAUCGACACCCCUUGCGGUCCAUGACAAUUUGGUGAUGAAAUGUAACACCCCGAGAUUCAGGUACAUUUCUUUCAUCCUUGUUCUUUGUCGAUUGGUCAUGAUUAGUCCUUGAGUGGAGGAUUUAUAGCAAGUGAGUACGCUGGGCGUAACUCUGGGUGUACCUAGAGUUACGCCGGGCGUACCCAGCCUAGAUGCAAAAACCCUAAUCCGUCUUGUGCACUAUUUAAAGGGUGCUAAGGAUCAUUUCUCAGCCUCUAUAUCAGUGAGUGAAACCCUAAAAGAGAGCCUCCCAUCGUCCUUAGUGUGUGAGAGUGUUGUUGGAGCUAAUUGUGCUUUGGUGACCUAAUGAAGGAGAAGGAAAGGAGCUCUUGGAAGCUAAAGCUUGAGGUGCCAUUUUGGAUCUAAGAUCUACAGAGAAAAGGGCUACACUUGGAGGUAUAAAGUUCAAAACUUUCCUCUUCUUUUGGUUGUUGUUUCAUGUUCCAUUUCUAGGGCUAAAACCCCAAAGGUGGAGACUUUAUGAGUGUAAAGUGCUCCAUGGUCCGAGAUCUGUCCCAUUUUAGUGGUAUUAGUGAUUUAGAACCAUAAAGUUUCCAUCUUGGAUGUUAGUUUGAGGUCAUGCUUGUGUAAUAAGCCUUCUAGAGUUAAAGGAUGGGACAUUAUGGAAGUUGGUGGCUUGUUCAGCCUUGCAAAGGCUUAAAGUCAUCAACUUUAUGGAUUAAGAGGCUUAGAUGUGGUCAGAUCUAGAAUUUGGACGUGGGUCUUAACUGUUUAAGACCUCAAGAGCUAAGGGGAUGAAGAUGGGGAGUACGCAGGGCAUAACCCCAGUACGCGUCGCGUACUGGGUGGCGUUCCCCGAUUCUGAGAUGCAACCGGGUACGCUCAGCGUACACAUCUGGUACGCGCAGCGUAACCCAGAAAGUUGACAGCUGGUUGACUUUUAGGGUAUGGUCUAUUUUGGGGCCUUUUGAGUUACGAGAGGGGUAAAAUGGUCCUUUACCCUUAUGAGAGUGUCAUAAGAGGACAUAGUCUAGCCUUUGAGAGUUAUAUUAAAUAGAGUAUUUAUUUCAUAUGAUUAGGCGGAGGCUAGGCCAGCGUUUACCUUGUCAGAGAUUUACCGACAUACCCGAGGUGAGUCUUCUCACUAUACUUUACCUAGUGUGGUAACAGAGUUAUGUGACAGAGUACUAUAGAGUUAUUUAUGUGUUGUGAUUUAUUGUGAUAUGUGAUAUGCAUGAUUCAGAGUUACAGAGCUGGGACUUUCGGGUCCCUAGAGUUAGGGACAGAGGGCCCACCUAGAGUUGGGGCUGGAGGGCCCCAUUGAGACACAUUGACCAGAGGGUCGACAGAGUUACAGCCUCGAGUGGCUAUUAUGUGUUAGGGGGGGAUUUUGGGGAACUCACUAACGUUUNGAGUGGUAUUUUAGGGAACUCACUAAGCUUAUGCUUAUAGUGUUAUGUGUUAUGUGUUUCAGGUACCAGUGAUGACCGCGGGAAGGCGCCAGCUUGAUUCGUACACACACAUGGGAUUUUAUGUAUUUUGAUCUUGGGAGAUAUUUUGUGAAACAAAGACAUGAUACUAUGACGUGUUAUGAAUGAAUGAGUUUGUAAAAAUCUGUUUGAAAUUGCGAAAAAUUGUUUUAAUUUUUACGGUGUUAUCCAUAGAAAUCUAUUCCAACUUCCACUGGGGAACCUAAAGUGGCUGCAACUUGCCAUGCGGACGUUGGUGCUCGACCUUAACCCUGCGACAGGUCAAGUACCUCUUGACAAACCUUGCCACAUCCCUCUUCAUACAGGGCCACCAAUACUCCCUCUUCAGGUCCAAAUACAUCUUAGUGGCCCCGGGAUGGAUCAAGAACCUCGAUAUGUGCACCUCCUCCAUCAGGAUGGUGCGUGUCCCGCCCGCAAACGGUACCUAAAUCCGACCCUGAAAGGUCAAAAGCCCUCGGCUAUCGGUAACGAACUCAGAUACAUGCCCAAUCACCCACUCUCUUUUGCGGUUCUCUUGACUCACUGCCUCUGCCUGGGCCUCUCGUAUUGUAUCCAACACCAGAGUGAUCACCGUCAUCCUUAUACAAAUGUCUCGUAUCGGGGCACUCUCCACCCUGCGGCUCAGGGCAUCAGCUACAACGUUAGCCUUGACCGGGUGGUACAGGAUUUCACAGUCUUAAUCCUUUACCACAUCCAAGCAUCUCCUCUGGCGGAUGUUCAGGUUGGGCUGGUCCAUCAAGUACUUCAAACUCUUGUGGUCUGUGUAUAUGAUACACUGAACGCUAUACAAAUAAUGACGCCAUAUCUUGAGGGCGAACACCACAACCCCCAAAUCCAAAUUGUGGGUGGGAUACCUCACCUUGUGAUGCUUCAGCUCCCUCGAUGCGUACGCUAUCACGUGCCCUCUCUGCAUGAGCACCGCACCCAACCCUGAUAUCGAUGUGUCACAAUACACCGCAAAAUCCUCUAUUCCCUCUGGAAGGGCUAACACCGGGGCUUCACACAGUCUCUGGCGAAGAGUCUCAAACGAGGUCGGCUACUCUGGACCCCACGUAAAUGCAACGCCCUUCCGAGUCAGCCUGGUGAGUGGCACGACAGACUUAGAGAAAUCCUUGAUGAAUCUCCGAUAGUAGCCGGCCAACCCCAGAAAACUCCUAAUCUCGGUGGGGGAUCUCGGAACCUCCCAACUCAUCACCGCCUCAAUCUUGGCCGGAUCAACCAGUAUCCCAUUCUGAUUAACGAGAUGCCCCAAGAACUGUACCUCUCAUAACCAGAAAUCAUACAUGGAGAAUUUGGCGUAAAGCCUCUCCGAUCUCAAAACCCCGAGGAUCUCCCUCAAAUACUGCUCAUGCUGCUCUCGGGAUCUCGAAUACACCAGAAUAUCGUCGAUGAACACGAUCACCGAUCGAUCCAACAUCGGUAUGCAUACUCUGUUCAUUGGAUCCAUGAACGCUAUUGGAGCAUUGGUAAGCCCGAAAGGCAUCACCAUGAACUCGUAAUGCCCAUAACGAGUCCUAAACGCUGUCUUCUGGAUAUCCUCAUCAUGCACCCUCAUCUGGUGAUAUCCAGACCUCAAGUCUAUCUUGGAAAACCAAGAUGCUCCCUGUAACUGAUCGAACAAAUCAUCGAUCCUCGGUAAUGGAUAAGGGUUCUUGAACGUCAACUUGUUCAACUCCCGGUAAUCAAUGCAUAUUCAGUGUGAACCAUCCUUUUUCUUGACAAAUGGAUCGNNNNNNNNNNNNNNCUCCCCAAGGGGAACUACUCGGCCUAAUAAACCCCUUCCCCAGUAGCUCCUGAAGCUGCGAGGAUAACUCCUGCAUCUUUGGCGGCGCAAGGCGAUAAGGCGCCUUGGUGAUACGCGCUGCCCCGGAACUAAGUCGAUGCGGAAGUCCACCUGCCUCUCGGGAGGUACACCCAGAAACUCCUCGGGAAAAACAUUUGGGAACUCAUGCGCUAUCAGAACAUCAUCAACCGAACUCGGCCGCUCUGCGGCCACUCGUGUAUCCAUCACAUAAGCUACAAACCCACUGCAGCCCUGUUGUAAACACUGUCUCGCUCUGGCAGCUGAACAAAAUGCUGACCCACAUCGGGUACCCUCUCCAUAUACAGUCAGCAUUCCCCCACUAGGGUCUCGUAUCGUCACCAUCUGCUGCUCGCAGUCUAUAACAGCCCCAAAUUGGCUCAACCAAUCCAUGCCCACUAUAACGCAAAUGUCCCGCGUCGCAAUCAGAACUAGAUCUAUCGGGAACUCAACACCGAAUAUCUUGAGUACACAUCCUCGAAUCACGUCAGUAGCAUACACCGCUUGCUGGUCAUCUAUGGAAACUCGUAGAGGUCGACUCAACGCCUCUCGUCGACUAAUGAUGUGCUGACCAAACGCUAAUGACACAAAUGAUCGACUCGCAACCGAGUCAAAUAACACCAAAGAAGGUACAAAACUCACAAGAAAAGUACCUACGCAUAUCAUAAUAUAAGCACAAUAUCUCAACACAGCAUAAAUAAAGGAAAGAAUACAUACCAGCCACGACAUCGGGCGCUACGCGGACCUCCUCUGCUGUCAACCAGAAGGCUCUCCAGCGAGCCAUCGGUGCCUUGGCCUUCACUGGCCGACCCUCAGUAGCUCGUGCAGUAGCAUGGGUAGAUCCCUACGCUGAUCCCUGUAACAGCUGUGGGCACUCGGCCUUCCAGUGGCCGGUCUGGUUGCAAUGAAAGCAAACCAAGAAUCCCUUAGGGCAAUUGUUAGGCGUGUCAAACCCAACAAAUAAAGGGGUACGAUAUACUCCAAAAGAAUCCCACUAUAUUGCACUAAAAGGUAGGACAAGGCAAGCAGGGUCGAUCCACAGAGACACGGGAUAAUUAGUCUAUACCUCUUUACACAAGGUACUGUGGUCACCAAUAGUAAAGAGGGGGGUUUAGAAUGAAAUAAUUAAAACAAACAAUUAAAAACACCAGUAAUCAACAAAAAGGGUGAAUUAAAUUCAGAAAUGGUAUGGACUCCAACCUCAUGUAUGACGACUUAGCAAUGUGAUUCCAAGAUAACAUGAUAUUUGCUCAAUUCUAUCUAAGUUGGUACUUGAAAGUGUUAACAAGCUCUAACACUUCCCAUUCACCACAUUAAUUAACCAAAACAAGCUCUUUGAUUAACCCUAACCUUACUAACCUAAUCUAAACACGCUCUUAGAAUUAGAUUGAAAGAUUGAAUUAAACUUUAUGUGAAUGUUCCCAACAACACCCGAUACUCCUCACAAGCUAGCGUAAGAGUGUGUGAAUAAGAUUUACACUAAAUUCAUUUAAUGGAAAUCAGUUUAGUGCUUGUUACUUGUUCAAUUUCACAAAACAAUUACGGAUUUUGUAAAAGAGAUAACUUGAAUGACCUAACCCUAAUUCAAAUGGCCAAUAAGAGUCACAAUUAGAAUCAAAAAUUUGCUUAAAUCAAAAUCAAAUUCACUAGAUAGAAAUUAAAAGCAAACAUCAAGUCAUAUGAUUGAAAUCACAACUAAGAAGUCAAGACAUGAAGUUGGAGAAACUAGGGUUCUAACCACACAUGGAUAGAACAAGAUCACAAGAAUAGAAGAUGGAAAUAAUGUGCAAUUACAACUUACAAAUAAGAGAAAUAAUGUUUCCAAAUGAUAAAUGAUCAAAUCCAUGAAAAAACCUUUGAAAUCCCCUCUAAAAUGUGCUAUGAUAUGUUGUGUGUCCCCAAAAUGACCCAAUUUUCCGCAAUAUGAAAAAUAGAAAAACUGCCAAAAGGUAGUUUUCUUGGGUCGAACUGUUGGAUUAAUGUCUAAGUCCAUAACUAUAAUUGGUAAGACUUGACCCGACCCGGCAUGGUCCAUUUGGGUUGCAUGGCAUCAUGCACUUGGAUAGACUAAAAUGAGAGAAAUAACACUUAAGGUUUAUUAAUAUAUUAUAAGUUCUAAUAUAUUAAUAAGAUUAUUUAAUUAGUAUUGAUCAAUAAUUAAUUUAGAAUUAAUUAUGUGAUCAAAAGAAGACUAAUUAAAUAUAUGGGUUGAUUGUGUAAAUCAUCCAUACUUAUAUAGUGGGCUAAUGCUCCAUGGAUUAUCAAGUUGGGCUAAAACCCAUUGGAUGCUCCAUGGUGUAUUUGAACCCAUGGAUCCAUGGAAAUGGAUAGCCAUGACAAUUAGGGUUUACCCUAAUUGUAACACACUAUAUAAUGAUCUCUUUCUUGGGAAAAUCGGCGACUAUGAUAUGCAUGGAGGGCAAGCCGAUUCUUGAAGUGUUCUAAUUUCUCUCUAAGUUAUUCCAAGUGCUUAUGGUGUUGUGUGAACCAUUUGAGGUGUCACACUUGGGGCACUAGGCACUCAAGCUUCAUGAAGACAAGCACCAACAAAAGGUAUGUUAUUCUAACUUGUGUUAUUCAAAGUUUUGUAUGCUAGAAUAGAACAAUACCUUGGAAAGUUGAUAUUUGCAUGUAUAAUAGAGAAAACAUAGAUCCAAGGUAUUUAGGGUUGCAUGUACACUUAGGAGUGUUAGAUUGCUCAAAACCCAACAGUGGUAUCAGAGCCUAGGCUUGUUUUCUUGUUGUACUUGCUUAAACUGCUUAAAAAUCGACUUUUGGUGCUGUCUGCCCAGCAGACUCGCCGAGUCCAUGAAGGGACUUGACAAUUCCAAGGAAAAAUGCAUGCAACUCGCCGAGUUUGUUCAUGCACUCGACGAGUUGGACCCCCAGACAACAUAUUUUUGAGUUCUGGUGCUGGAAUUGGUCUGGAAUCAUUACCUUUGACUGUUUUGGGCUUAUAAAACUUGUUUUGAAUGUGGUAAUGAUUAUGUUAAACCAAUUUCAAUGCUAUAAUAAAAGUUUCAAGUUUAUAUGUGUUCAUGUUAUUCUUGAAAAUUGUUGAUUAUGAAUGAUCAUGCUUAUGAGUUUUGCUAGAUCAUAGGAAUUGUGUGCAAAUUGUUUGUUGAUAUAAUUCAUGAUCUUGUUGAAAAUUGUAUGGAGUUCAUAACUUGUCCUCAAGUUAUGAAUUUUCAAGAAUUUUAUGUUUCCUUGAUUUAUGAGUUAGUUUAGAUUGAUAAUGAAAAAAUUAUGUUUUAGUUGUUUUCAAUCCAUAUUAGUCUAAAAGAAGUUCAUAAAAUAUGUUUUUGUAGCUUGUCUUCAAGUUAUGUGAAAAGUCAUAUUUAUGAAUCUUAAAAACUCAUAAAAGUUUUGUAGGUUACAUAAAAUGUAAGAGUUUUUUCCAUUAAAUAGUUUAAUGACUCCAUAACUUGUCCUCAAGUUAUGGAUGUUGAAGAGACACUUCUUUAAAGUGUUUUUAAAGAAUAAGGGGUUACAUUAAAAUGAAGAGUCUUCAUUUUAAUGAACCAUUAAACUCAUAAGUUAUGAUUUAAAGAGUCUUGAAAUAGUUUCAAAACUUGCCCUCAAGUUUUGGAAUUUGAAAAGUUACUCCUCAUGUAUACUUUAAUUCCAAAUUGAACAUUGAAAUUUUAAAAAGUUUAAAAUUCAACCCUUAUACUAUUAUUAUAAUUUUAAUUAUAUAGAUAUGUAUAAGAGGAAGUCAAUCUUACCGUUAGUAGGCCUCAUUCACGAAGCCGGUCUAUAAGGUGGGUAUAAGGUUGUUGCCUAUAAAAUGGUGACUUAAUGGGUGUCCACUCUCACCCACCGCUUGCUUGAUCGGUGGAGGGUCGUUAGCCGAACGGGUAAGACAAGGACUUAUUAAUUCUCAUUCAAAGUAUGAUGAAUAUUAUAAAGUAACUAAAUGUUUUAUUAAAUUCCCAAUCUUAGUUACUUUAGGAAAAAUGUGAAUAAGGUGCUAUUCCAUGAAAUUACACUUUACACUUUGAUUAAGUCGUUGGUGGAGCGUGUGUGGUUAACCGGCACACUAACUUGGACUUAACAAGGUAGGUAAAGGGUGACUUAGGGUUUAUUAUAGUAUCGAUGGAGCGUGUGUGGUUAACCGGCACAUCGAUUGAGUGAUAAACUUUAAGGGUACCAAGUGAUUUGCAUGGUUACUUCACACCUCGUUUUGUGAUCCUCGGUAUCCCAGUCACAAAACUUGGAGGGCACACUCGAGAUUGAAACAUGCCUUUGAAAAGUUCAUUGAAUCUCAAAGAAUCUAGGAAUUUCUAAGAACCAUUCAAAAACCUAAUACUAAAAUAUUGCGGUUUUCGUGGUGGAAAUUGGUGAAUCGUCAUUCACCUACCUUUCAAAUAUGAUAUAGCUUAGAUUACGGCAUACCUCUUCUAAGUUAUAUUAUAUUGUGAUUGGAUCCUAGCCUUAAUAUUACAUUUGGGUGUUUUAUUAAGGACUCUCUUAUAUCUAAACUAAUCUUGUCCUCUUUCCUUCAGAUGUCUUUCAACAAUGCUUCUGGCUCUAAUCCUAAUGGCUCCUUUACCCUUAUGAACUUGUGUGGGAAAGUCACCUUUGAUGGAUCCAACUUCAAUGAGUGGAUCAGAAACAUCAGGAUGAUUACCCGCUACGAGGACAAAGAAUAUGUCCUUGACAAGGAGCUUAAGGAGAUUGAUGAGUCCACUGCAACUCCUCAGGAGAUCGCUGAAUUUCGGGCACAUGAAAGGGAUGCUACGAAAGUGGCUUGCAUCAUGAUGGCCACGAUGACAGCGGAACUCCAAAAGUCUUAUGAGGAUUUCUACCCUUAUGACAUGCACCAAGAUUUGAUGGAAAGAUACCAUCAAAGUGCAAGACAAGAGAGGUAUGAAAUCAUCUGCUCCAUGAUAACAACCAUGAUGAAGGACGGGGAAUCCGUCACGAGCCACAUGCAGAAAAUGCAAAGGUAUGUGGAUCGUUUGCUGAAGCUUAAUGUGAACUUCCCGGAGGAUCUUGCAAUAGAUAUUAUUUUGCAUUCCUUACCAUCGUGCUAUGAUCAAUUCCGCAUGACAUAUCACAUGAACAAGGAAGAAGUCACCCUCAGCAAACUUCAGGGACUUCUCAAGACCGCAGAAACAGGUCUUAAGGGGAAGUCGGUUGCUAUCACUCCUACUCAAAACUCUACUCCGGUUUUGGCAAUCGGGAAAAGUCGAGGGAGGAAGAGAAAGAGCUCUUCUAAGGGUACCAAGGCUCGGACCCUUGAUGGCUCUUCUUCAAGUGGAACCAAGAAAGGUUUCGUUACUCCUUCUUCUGACCCAAAAGAGGCUGAAUGCUUCUAUUGCCAUGAAAAAGCUCAUUGGAAGCGGAACUGCCCAAAAUACCAGCAAGAUGUGAAGGAUGGGAAAGUUAAACCCAACCAUGCAGGUAUUUACACUAUCAUUUCUAAUAACUCACCCCAUUCUAAUUCUUGGGUCCUUGAUACCGGGUGUGGUAUUCACAUUUGUUGUGACUUGCAGGGACUAAGAAGAAGUGAGGAUGUGGAGCAAGGAAGGAUAAACUUGAUCAUGGGGAAUAGGAAAGCUAUACCUGUUACCAAGAUUGGAGUUUAUACUUUAUCGCUAAGUAGUGGGUUUAGUUUAGAUUUGAAUAAGUGUUGUUAUUCGCCAGGAAUGGCAAGAAAUAUUAUUUCCUUUCAUGCUUUGUACAAACAAGGGUUUACCUUUUCAUUUAAUAAUGAAGUUGGUUCUAUAGAUGUUUUCUAUAAUAAUGUCUUUUAUUUUAAAGCAUUACCUUGUGAUGGUGUGUAUGAAGCUGUAUCUGUUGUAGAUAACUUGGGAAAUAAUGUUUUGUGUAUUGAUUCUACUAAUAAUAACUUGGAUAAAGCAUCUUUAUGGCAUUGUCGUCUUGGACAUAUAAGCAAGAAACGCAUAGGCCAACUCCAAAAGGAUGGAGUCUUGGAGUCGUUUGACCUAAAGUCAGAUGAUAGUUGCGAAUCAUGCUUACUUGGAAAAAUGACAAAGUCACCCUUCACAGGUUCGUGUGAGAGGGGUGAAGGUUUGUUGGACCUUAUACACACGGAUGUGUGUGGACCAUUCAAACAUGCCACAAGGGAUGCUAAUCGUUAUUAUUUGACUUUUACUGAUGAUUAUAGUAGAUAUGGAUAUGUCUACUUGAUCAAGCAUAAGUCAGAGACUUUCGAGAGGUUUAAGGAAUUUAAACAGGAAGUCGAGAAUCAAUUGGGCAGGAACAUUAAGAUGCUUCGAUCCGAUCGUGGUGGUGAGUAUCUUAGUUCAGAGUUCCUCGACUAUCUAAGGGAAUGUGGGAUAGUCUCACAAUUGACACCUCCCAGGACACCACAGUUGAAUGGUGUGGCUGAGAGGCGUAAUCGAACCUUGUUAGAUAUGGUUCGUUCCAUGAUGAGUCGAGCUACGCUACCAAUCUCAUUCUGGGGGUAUGCCUUAGAGACUGCCGCCCAUAUUCUUAAUCUAGUCCCUACAAAGAAAGUUGCCAAAACUCCUCACGAGAUGUGGACUGGUAAAGUACCUAAACUAGACCACAUCAAGAUUUGGGGUUGCGAGGCUUUCGUGAGACGCGAGACUCAUGAUAAGCUCGAACCUCGAAGCGAGAGGUGUAUUUUCAUCGGUUACCCACAGCGAUCCUUUGGUUACCUCUUCUACAGACCUAGUGACAAUGUGGUCUUUGUAGCAAGAAGAGGAGUCUUUCGAGAAAGAGAGUUUAUAAGCCAAGGAGACAGUGGGAGGCAAAUUGAUCUUGAAGAAAUUCAAGAAUCAAGCGGUGAAGGAACUUCAAACUCUAGCCCUCAACUUGAGGAGGAAACUCCUGUUGAGCCAAUUGACAAAUCUGUACCUCUGAGACGUUCCACGAGAGUUAGGAGUGCACCUGAGCAUUACUAUGGAUUCCAUAUUACUGCAGAAGGUGAGACACUUAUUAGUGAUGAGACACUAGUAAGUCAAGAUGACCCUAACAGCUACGAGGAAGCCAUGGCAGGCCCCGAGUCUGCUAAAUGGAAAGAGGCUAUGGAUAGCGAGAUACAAUCCAUGUAUGACAAUCAAGUUUGGAACUUGGUUGAAAAUGUACCAGGUCGUAAGACAGUAGGGUGCAAAUGGGUCUUCAAGAAGAAGACCGACAUGGAUGGUAAAGUACACACUUAUAAGGCUAGACUGGUUGCAAAGGGCUUCUCUCAAAUUCCUGGAGUGGAUUAUGAUGAGACCUUUUCUCCGGUAGCCAAGAUUAAGUCUAUUCGGGUUCUGUUAGCCAUAGCUGCAUUUCAUGACUAUGAAAUAUGGCAGAUGGAUGUCAAAACCGCUUUCCUUAAUGGAAAGUUGGCUGAAGAUGUUUACAUGAGUCAGCCAGAGGGUUUUGUCAGCAACGAGUACCCUAAUAGAGUGUGUAAGCUUGAGAAAUCCAUUUAUGGAUUGAAGCAAGCACCUCGCAGAUGGAAUCUUUGCUUUGAUGAAAAGGUCAAGGAAUUUGGCUUUUCUAGGAGUGAAGAUGAAUCUUGUGUGUAUGUCAAGGCUAGUGGGAGUAUAGUUAGCUUUUUGGUAUUGUAUGUGGAUGACAUACUACUCAUAGGAAACGACAUUCCAACCCUGCAGGAAGUAAAGUCCUGGCUUGGGAAGUGUUUCGCUAUGAAGGACCUUGGUGAAGCUGCCUAUAUUCUAGGGAUAAGAAUCUUGAGAGAUCGGAGUAAAAGACUAAUUGGACUUAGUCAGAGUACCUACUUGGAUAAGGUGCUGAAGAGAUUCAGCAUGCAGGAUUCCAAGAAAGGAGAGUUACCCAUCCAGAGUAACACCAGAUUGAGUAAGACACAAAGCCCUAGCACUGAGGCUGAGAUAGCAGAAAUGAGUCGAACACCUUACGCUUCGGCUGUAGGAUCGAUCAUGUAUGCUAUGACGUGUACUCGACCCGAUGUAGCUUUUGCCUUGAGCAUGGUUAGCAGGUAUCAGGCGAACCCUGGCAAGGCACACUGGACUGCGGUAAAGAAUAUCCUCAAGUACCUACGGAGGACUAAGGACUGGGUCCUUACCCUCGGUGGGAGUGAUGACUUGAGAGUUGUAGGGUAUAGUGAUGCUAGCUUCCAGACUGAUAGGGAUAAUUUCCGCUCUCAGUCGGGCUGGGUCUUUACCCUAAACGGAGGAGCAAUUUCUUGGAAGAGUUCCAAGCAAGAGACAGUGGCAGAUUCUACUUGUGAAUCAGAGUAUAUUGCAGCUAGUGAAGCAGCAAAGGAGGCGAUAUGGCUGAAGAACUUCAUUGGAGACCUUGGAGUUGUACCAGCUAUUAAAGAGCCAAUGGAAAUUUUCUGUGAUAGUGAAAGUGCUGUUGCCUUAGCCAAGGAACCAAGGGAUCAUGGGAGAUCCAGACACAUCGACAGAAAAUACCAUUUCAUUAGACAUCGGAUCGAAGAAGGACUCCUCGUGGCAAAGAGGGUAUCAUCGGAUGAGAACCCAGCAGAUCCCCUCACGAAGGGACUGAGUAGGGUUAAGCAUCUCCAGCAUGCUCGGAGCAUAGGGCUGAAGGAUGAUAUAAGUUUUAGUAGUUAGAUAACCCAGAAAUUUGUAAAGUGUAAUUGACAUUUGAUGAUGAAUAAAAGGUGUUUUAUUUAUGAGUAAAGUGUUGCUAUCUCUUGUCGAUCGUUUACUAUAUUUCUUUUGCAUGUUUUGACUUCCAGAAUAAUUUUGUUUGGUAUAACAUAUUAUUCAAACCUCCACAGUCGGUCAUAUGUUGGAAGUAGAUAUGAAUCAAGACUGUCAUGUUUGGUUGUAGAGGUCUUGGACAAGGCUACAACAAUCAUGAGUGCUCAUAAGUUCUGAGCAUUGGACUCAACCCACGCUCACUGGAAUCACUUCAUGGAAUUCUAUCUCGAGUGAUCGUGAGACGGUAAUAUCAUAUAAGUCUUCAAACCUAGAGAUAUGAUUUGUUACUUACAAGUUGGUUAUGCAUUGACUGUACGAAACCGCAUUGGUAACUCGAUGUUAUAAAACGUACUUUUGUGUGUAAUUCAAUGAGUGGUAGAACAAACAUAUGAGUCGAAGUUUAUCUGUUCCUUCUUGGAUUAGAAGCUGAUAUCUGGGCCCCUCGAUGAUUUUGUUUUGACCCAUGUACCGGGCCCGGUCAGAACUAAGUUGAUGUGUUCAAUUAAGUUCUAUGUCAAACAAAUCGGAAAUCGGGAAACAAAUGCUGGACAAUAAGCAAGACAAUGUUCCAUGUAUUUGUCCGGCUGAUAUCUAGAACGGAGGAUUAUAUGAUCACUUAUCUUAAAUGGCGUACCAUCAUCUUCUCAGUUCCGAGAGACCUUGAAAGAGCUACGAUUGCCGGUCGGUUCCUGAAGUACUAGAGAUAUAGUUAUUAGACUUAUCCAAGUGGGAGACUGUUGGAUAAGGUGUCUAAGUCCAUAACUAUUUCGGGCUUGUACUUGACCCGACCCGGCAUGGUCCAUUUGGGUUGCAUGGCACCAUGCAAUUGGAUAGACUAAAUGAGAGAAAUAACACUUGGAGAUUAUUAAUAUAUUAUAAGUUCUAAUAUAUUAAUAAUAUUAUUUGAUUAGUUGAUCAAAGAAUUAAUUUGGAAUUAAUUAAGUGAUCAAAGGAUAACUAAUUAAAUAUAUGGGUUGAUUAUGUAAAUCAUCCAUAUCUUGUAUAGUGGGCUAAGAGGCUCCAUGGAUUAUCAAGUUGGGUUCUACCCAUAGGAUGCUCCAUGGAUGCUCCAUGGGAGUUACAAACCCAUGGGUCAUGGAAAUGAAGAGUCAUGACACAUUAGGGUUUACAUGGUGUAACCCUAGAUGUGCCAACACUAUAUAAGAGUCCCAUUCUCCACAAAAUUGGCUACACAAGUUGAACACUAAGAAACUAGAGGGCUUGGCCGAUUUUGAGAAGUGUGUGUUAUCUCAAGAGUCUUUCCAAGAGCAUUUGGUGUUGUGUGAAGCAUUUGAGGCAUCACACUUGGGGUGCUAGGCUCACAAGGUUUCAAGGAACACAAGCAACAACAAGGUAAGUUAUUCUAUCUAUGAUUCAAGUUAAAAUUGUUCCCCAUGUAUGCUAGAUAGGAAUAUAACCUUGGAAUUCAACUUUGCAUGAUAAUUAGACAAACAUAGAUCCAAGGUUAUUAGGGUUGCAUGUACACUUAGGAAGUGUUAGAAUGCUCAAAACCCAUCAGUGGUAUCAGAGCCUAGGCUUGUUUGUUUGUUAUUUGUGCUUAAAAGUUGAAGAAAGUCGAAAAUCUUGCUGUCUGACUGAUGGACUCGGCGAGUCCAUGGGGAGGACUCGUCGAGUUCAUGUGUAUCUUCAACCUACUCGGCGAGUAGGUUUAUGCACUCGGCGAGUAGGGUCGACAGAGUGCAGAUUUUCGACUUGAGUUGCUGGAAAUGGAUUAGAAACAUUACCCUAAACUGUUUUGGUACUUGAAAACUUGUUUUAGAUGGUGUAAUGUUCAUGGUAAUCCAUUUACAACAACAAGAUAUUAAAAUUACAAAGUUUUUAGUGUAGUUUUGAUUCAUGAAAGUGUUCAUGUUCAUGUUCUUGAUCUUAUGAUGUUUAGAUGAUCAUAGGAAUUAUUUGUAACCUAUGUGGUAGUUUAAUUCUUGAUCAUAAUGUGUUUUAAUGGAGUCCAUAACUUGUCCUCAAGUUAUGGAAAACCAAAAGUCUCUUGGAUUAAAAACCAUUAAAAGAACACAAGAGUUAGGAAAAAUGAAAAGUCCUCAUUUUAUUACUCUAUUAAACUCAUAAGUUACAAGAAAUGAAAAGUUUUGAAAGUUUACAAAACUUGCCCUCAAGUUUUGGAACAAGUAAAGUUAAGUUAAAACUUUAGUUCCAACCCCUAGAAUUUUAAAAGUUAAAAUUCAACCCUUAUACUUAUAUUAUUAUGAUUUAAUAAUUAUAUAUAUAUGUAUAAGAACAAAGUCGUCUUACCGCUAGUACGCCUCAUUCACGAAGCCGGUCUAUAAGGUGGGUAUAAGGUUGUUGCCUAUAAAAUGGUGACUUAAUGGGUGUCCACUCUCACCCACCGCUUGCUUGAUCGGUGGAGGGUCGUUAGCCGAACGGGUAAGACAAGGACUUAUUAAUUCUCAUUCAAAGUAUGAUGAAUAUUAUAAAGUAACUAAAUGUUUUAUUAAAUUCCCAAUCUUAGUUACUUUAGGAAAAAUGUGAAUAAGGUGCUAUUCCAUGAAAUUACACUUUACACUUUGAUUAAGUCGUUGGUGGAGCGUGUGUGGUUAACCGGCACACUAACUUGGACUUAACAAGGUAGGUAAAGGGUGACUUAGGGUUUAUUAUAGUAUCGAUGGAGCGUGUGUGGUUAACCGGCACAUCGAUUGAGUGAUAAACUUUAAGGGUACCAAGUGAUUUGCAUGGUUACUUCACACCUCGUUUUGUGAUCCUCGGUAUCCCAGUCACAAAACUUGGAGGGCACACUCGAGAUUGAAACAUGCCUUUGAAAAGUUCAUUGAAUCUCAAAGAAUCUAGGAAUUUCUAAGAACCAUUCAAAAACCUAAUACUAAAAUAUUGCGGUUUUCGUGGUGGAAAUUGGUGAAUCGUCAUUCACCUACCUUUCAAAUAUGAUAUAGCUUAGAUUACGGCAUACCUCUUCUAAGUUAUAUUAUAUUGUGAUUGGAUCCUAGCCUUAAUAUUACAUUUGGGUGUUUUAUUAAGGACUCUCUUAUAUCUAAACUAAUCUUGUCCUCUUUCCUUCAGAUGUCUUUCAACAAUGCUUCUGGCUCUAAUCCUAAUGGCUCCUUUACCCUUAUGAACUUGUGUGGGAAAGUCACCUUUGAUGGAUCCAACUUCAAUGAGUGGAUCAGAAACAUCAGGAUGAUUACCCGCUACGAGGACAAAGAAUAUGUCCUUGACAAGGAGCUUAAGGAGAUUGAUGAGUCCACUGCAACUCCUCAGGAGAUCGCUGAAUUUCGGGCACAUGAAAGGGAUGCUACGAAAGUGGCUUGCAUCAUGAUGGCCACGAUGACAGCGGAACUCCAAAAGUCUUAUGAGGAUUUCUACCCUUAUGACAUGCACCAAGAUUUGAUGGAAAGAUACCAUCAAAGUGCAAGACAAGAGAGGUAUGAAAUCAUCUGCUCCAUGAUAACAACCAUGAUGAAGGACGGGGAAUCCGUCACGAGCCACAUGCAGAAAAUGCAAAGGUAUGUGGAUCGUUUGCUGAAGCUUAAUGUGAACUUCCCGGAGGAUCUUGCAAUAGAUAUUAUUUUGCAUUCCUUACCAUCGUGCUAUGAUCAAUUCCGCAUGACAUAUCACAUGAACAAGGAAGAAGUCACCCUCAGCAAACUUCAGGGACUUCUCAAGACCGCAGAAACAGGUCUUAAGGGGAAGUCGGUUGCUAUCACUCCUACUCAAAACUCUACUCCGGUUUUGGCAAUCGGGAAAAGUCGAGGGAGGAAGAGAAAGAGCUCUUCUAAGGGUACCAAGGCUCGGACCCUUGAUGGCUCUUCUUCAAGUGGAACCAAGAAAGGUUUCGUUACUCCUUCUUCUGACCCAAAAGAGGCUGAAUGCUUCUAUUGCCAUGAAAAAGCUCAUUGGAAGCGGAACUGCCCAAAAUACCAGCAAGAUGUGAAGGAUGGGAAAGUUAAACCCAACCAUGCAGGUAUUUACACUAUCAUUUCUAAUAACUCACCCCAUUCUAAUUCUUGGGUCCUUGAUACCGGGUGUGGUAUUCACAUUUGUUGUGACUUGCAGGGACUAAGAAGAAGUGAGGAUGUGGAGCAAGGAAGGAUAAACUUGAUCAUGGGGAAUAGGAAAGCUAUACCUGUUACCAAGAUUGGAGUUUAUACUUUAUCGCUAAGUAGUGGGUUUAGUUUAGAUUUGAAUAAGUGUUGUUAUUCGCCAGGAAUGGCAAGAAAUAUUAUUUCCUUUCAUGCUUUGUACAAACAAGGGUUUACCUUUUCAUUUAAUAAUGAAGUUGGUUCUAUAGAUGUUUUCUAUAAUAAUGUCUUUUAUUUUAAAGCAUUACCUUGUGAUGGUGUGUAUGAAGCUGUAUCUGUUGUAGAUAACUUGGGAAAUAAUGUUUUGUGUAUUGAUUCUACUAAUAAUAACUUGGAUAAAGCAUCUUUAUGGCAUUGUCGUCUUGGACAUAUAAGCAAGAAACGCAUAGGCCAACUCCAAAAGGAUGGAGUCUUGGAGUCGUUUGACCUAAAGUCAGAUGAUAGUUGCGAAUCAUGCUUACUUGGAAAAAUGACAAAGUCACCCUUCACAGGUUCGUGUGAGAGGGGUGAAGGUUUGUUGGACCUUAUACACACGGAUGUGUGUGGACCAUUCAAACAUGCCACAAGGGAUGCUAAUCGUUAUUAUUUGACUUUUACUGAUGAUUAUAGUAGAUAUGGAUAUGUCUACUUGAUCAAGCAUAAGUCAGAGACUUUCGAGAGGUUUAAGGAAUUUAAACAGGAAGUCGAGAAUCAAUUGGGCAGGAACAUUAAGAUGCUUCGAUCCGAUCGUGGUGGUGAGUAUCUUAGUUCAGAGUUCCUCGACUAUCUAAGGGAAUGUGGGAUAGUCUCACAAUUGACACCUCCCAGGACACCACAGUUGAAUGGUGUGGCUGAGAGGCGUAAUCGAACCUUGUUAGAUAUGGUUCGUUCCAUGAUGAGUCGAGCUACGCUACCAAUCUCAUUCUGGGGGUAUGCCUUAGAGACUGCCGCCCAUAUUCUUAAUCUAGUCCCUACAAAGAAAGUUGCCAAAACUCCUCACGAGAUGUGGACUGGUAAAGUACCUAAACUAGACCACAUCAAGAUUUGGGGUUGCGAGGCUUUCGUGAGACGCGAGACUCAUGAUAAGCUCGAACCUCGAAGCGAGAGGUGUAUUUUCAUCGGUUACCCACAGCGAUCCUUUGGUUACCUCUUCUACAGACCUAGUGACAAUGUGGUCUUUGUAGCAAGAAGAGGAGUCUUUCGAGAAAGAGAGUUUAUAAGCCAAGGAGACAGUGGGAGGCAAAUUGAUCUUGAAGAAAUUCAAGAAUCAAGCGGUGAAGGAACUUCAAACUCUAGCCCUCAACUUGAGGAGGAAACUCCUGUUGAGCCAAUUGACAAAUCUGUACCUCUGAGACGUUCCACGAGAGUUAGGAGUGCACCUGAGCAUUACUAUGGAUUCCAUAUUACUGCAGAAGGUGAGACACUUAUUAGUGAUGAGACACUAGUAAGUCAAGAUGACCCUAACAGCUACGAGGAAGCCAUGGCAGGCCCCGAGUCUGCUAAAUGGAAAGAGGCUAUGGAUAGCGAGAUACAAUCCAUGUAUGACAAUCAAGUUUGGAACUUGGUUGAAAAUGUACCAGGUCGUAAGACAGUAGGGUGCAAAUGGGUCUUCAAGAAGAAGACCGACAUGGAUGGUAAAGUACACACUUAUAAGGCUAGACUGGUUGCAAAGGGCUUCUCUCAAAUUCCUGGAGUGGAUUAUGAUGAGACCUUUUCUCCGGUAGCCAAGAUUAAGUCUAUUCGGGUUCUGUUAGCCAUAGCUGCAUUUCAUGACUAUGAAAUAUGGCAGAUGGAUGUCAAAACCGCUUUCCUUAAUGGAAAGUUGGCUGAAGAUGUUUACAUGAGUCAGCCAGAGGGUUUUGUCAGCAACGAGUACCCUAAUAGAGUGUGUAAGCUUGAGAAAUCCAUUUAUGGAUUGAAGCAAGCACCUCGCAGAUGGAAUCUUUGCUUUGAUGAAAAGGUCAAGGAAUUUGGCUUUUCUAGGAGUGAAGAUGAAUCUUGUGUGUAUGUCAAGGCUAGUGGGAGUAUAGUUAGCUUUUUGGUAUUGUAUGUGGAUGACAUACUACUCAUAGGAAACGACAUUCCAACCCUGCAGGAAGUAAAGUCCUGGCUUGGGAAGUGUUUCGCUAUGAAGGACCUUGGUGAAGCUGCCUAUAUUCUAGGGAUAAGAAUCUUGAGAGAUCGGAGUAAAAGACUAAUUGGACUUAGUCAGAGUACCUACUUGGAUAAGGUGCUGAAGAGAUUCAGCAUGCAGGAUUCCAAGAAAGGAGAGUUACCCAUCCAGAGUAACACCAGAUUGAGUAAGACACAAAGCCCUAGCACUGAGGCUGAGAUAGCAGAAAUGAGUCGAACACCUUACGCUUCGGCUGUAGGAUCGAUCAUGUAUGCUAUGACGUGUACUCGACCCGAUGUAGCUUUUGCCUUGAGCAUGGUUAGCAGGUAUCAGGCGAACCCUGGCAAGGCACACUGGACUGCGGUAAAGAAUAUCCUCAAGUACCUACGGAGGACUAAGGACUGGGUCCUUACCCUCGGUGGGAGUGAUGACUUGAGAGUUGUAGGGUAUAGUGAUGCUAGCUUCCAGACUGAUAGGGAUAAUUUCCGCUCUCAGUCGGGCUGGGUCUUUACCCUAAACGGAGGAGCAAUUUCUUGGAAGAGUUCCAAGCAAGAGACAGUGGCAGAUUCUACUUGUGAAUCAGAGUAUAUUGCAGCUAGUGAAGCAGCAAAGGAGGCGAUAUGGCUGAAGAACUUCAUUGGAGACCUUGGAGUUGUACCAGCUAUUAAAGAGCCAAUGGAAAUUUUCUGUGAUAGUGAAAGUGCUGUUGCCUUAGCCAAGGAACCAAGGGAUCACGGGAGAUCCAGACACAUCGACAGAAAAUACCAUUUCAUCAGACAUCGGAUCGAAGAAGGACUCCUCGUGGCAAAGAGGGUAUCAUCGGAUGAGAACCCAGCAGAUCCCCUCACGAAGGGACUGAGUAGGGUUAAGCAUCUCCAGCAUGCUCGGAGCAUAGGGCUGAAGGAUGAUAUAAGUUUUAGUAGUUAGAUAACCCAGAAAUUUGUAAAGUGUAAUUGACAUUUGAUGAUGAAUAAAAGGUGUUUUAUUUAUGAGUAAAGUGUUGCUAUCUCUUGUCGAUCGUUUACUAUAUUUCUUUUGCAUGUUUUGACUUCCAGAAUAAUUAUGUUUGGUAUAUCAUAUUAUUCAAACCUCCACAGUCGGUCAUAUGUCGGAAGUAGGUAUGAAUCAAGACUGUCAUGAUUGGUUGCAGAGGUCUAAGGUGUUGGACAAGGCUACAACAAUCAUGAGUGCUCAUAAGUUCUGAGCAUUGGACUCAACCCACGCUCACUGGAAUCACUUCAUGGAAUUUUAUCUCGAGUGAUCGUGAGACGGUAAUAUCAUAUAAGUCUUCAAACCUAGAGAUAUGAUUUGUUACUUACGAGUUGGUUAUGCAUUGAUUGUACGAAAACGCAUUGGUAACUCGAUGUUAUAAAACGUGCUUUUGUGUGUAAUUCAAUGAGUGGUAGAACAAACAUAUGAGUCGAAGUUUAUCUGUUCCUUCUUGGAUUAGAAGCUGAUAUCUGGGCCCCUCGAUGAUUUUGUUUUGACCUAUGUACCGGGCCCGGUCAGAACUAAAUUGAUGUGUUCAGUUAAGUUCUAUGUCAAACAAAUCGGAAAUCGGGAAACAAAUGCUGGACAAUAAGUAAGACCAUGUUCCAUGUAUUUGUCCGGCUGAUAUCUAGAACAGAGGAUUAUAUGAUCACUUAUCUAAAAUGGCGCGUUCUAGUUCAACAGAGUUUAAAGAGCUACGAUUGCUGAUCGGUUCCUGAAGUCAUACUUGCAACUAUAGUUAUUAGACUUAUCCAAGUGGGAGACUGUUGGAUAUAGUGUCUAAGUCCAUAACUAUAUUUGGUAUGUACUUGACCCGACCCGGCAUGGUCCAUUUGGGUUGCACUUCACCCGAACAAUUUAUGGAUAAUAUUUGAGAAUAGUACAAGUUAUGAUUUAUUAAUAUAUUAUAAGUUCUAAUAUAUUAAUAUAAGAUCAUAUUAUUUAAUUAGUAUUGAUCUAUAAUUAAUCUAGGAUUAAUUUAGAGAUCAAAGAUAUUACUAAUUAAAUAUGGGCUUCUAUAUUUAUAUAGUGUGGGCUAAUGCUUAUUUGGAAUGGGCUAGGCUUGCAUAGAAAAGUCCAUGGAUACUCCAUGGAGCUUUAACCCAUGGAUCUCAUGGAAAUGAAGAGACAUGGGUAUUAGGGUUUACAUGGAUGUAACCCUAAUCCAUCACACUAUAUAAAGGAGGCUUUGGUUCUUGAAAUCACACUAGUUGACACUUGUUGAGGUGAGGGCCGAUUUCAAGAUAGUAGUGACUAUUCUCUCAAAGUUCCAAGUUUGUGGUGAUUUGUGAUUUCCAUUUGAGGCAUCCACACUAUUGGUGCUAGGCUCUAAAACUCCAAGGAAUCAACUACAACUACAAGGUAAGUGUUUCUACUAGCUUUAUUUGAUUCAAGUUCCCCAUACCAUGCUAGUUAGGAUAUGAACCUUGGAAAAAUGAUUAUUUGCAUGCAUCUUAGACAAACAUAGAUACAAGGUUUAUUAGGGUUGCAUGUCCACUUAGGAUGUGUUAGAAUGCUCAAAACCCAUUAAUUAUACCCAGUCACCACGGAACACCAUUACAGAACAUCGUGAUGUCUUGCCUUAACCACUGAUCUCCUACUCCCAACACCGUACAGAUACGACAAUACAUUUCCUCUGAACUCCAUAAAUAAUUCCUCAUUUUACCCAAUGCGCAACUUUAGUGUAUUCAAACACUCAAUUGGAAUACAAAGAAGGCGCUAACGCUUCAGAACACGCGGAUGAUCCUCCGAAACCCUUUCCCCUACUGCUCAAAAUCCAAGCAAGAAUACACAUACCGGCCCGGGAGUUGGCUGUUUGAUAAUAUUCUAUCCACCCUAAAAAGGUCAUAAAUAAUCCAUACUUCGACCCAGAAGUUCUCAACUGCCCAUACCAUCGUUACGAGUCUUCCCUUUGAAACAACCCUGGCCACCACCGGCUUCCUGACCAAUGGCGAACUGCCGAGGAGACACCCAUCCUUUCUCAGACACAUACGACAUGUAUUAUCUUGCUCUGCACCUUUCUUUGAUCACCAAUGACCCUGGACUCAUGAAUUCGAGCCGCAGGUUUCUGUAUCCAACCCCUAACUGCUCUUCCACAAAUCUCUGGUUCCCUCAAUAAAAUACCCGGUUCUCCCCCACUUAGGGUUCGAACCAUCACCAAUUGCCGCACACACCAUCCCACAGACUGUUUCCACUAGCAAUAUUGCACCUGCCCUUGGAAGGUGCUACGCAACGCCCGAUAACCUCCUUUAAAGAGAUCAAGCAACCUCAAAUACCCUGAAUCUCAGAAUAAAUUCUUAGGAGCUUCUCAUCACGACUGACUCUAGUCGUUCAAAGUCUCAUACCAUCCCAAUACCGAACAUCUCAACUGUCCAGUAGAAUCACUAACUCUUAGACUGAACAAUAAAUCAUCGUACUCCUCAACCUCGACUUCUCAAACCCAAGUUCCAACACCUGAAUCAUUAAAAGAACAUGGACUCCACUCCCAUACUCAAUAUCCAUCAUAGACAGAAGAGUCGUCGCCCUGAUAUACUCAACGGGAUUACCCGCUGAUAUCGCCACCCCACGCCCUACUAUACUCAAUUAGGGUGUAAUGUCGUCCUUGACCAUCUCAGUCCCCACUGACUACCUGCUCAUGGUAGAUCAUUUCCAUGCGGCGGACAUGCUGCCUGAUACUUUGGUGGAAAAAAUCGACAUCAAUGCCAACCCACAGGGUUUUAUUCCUAUACCCCAAAACCGAAACCUCACGUUCCUAUUUCCCAAAGAAACAUAAAUAGCACCCAUCAGGUCACAGAAGGCGACAUCUACCCCAUUGACUGAUCGCUCACUCAGGCCGCAAUCCCCCAUAAAUGCCUUCUCUACAAAUCCCUGAGUCAUGCGACUACAUCUGACAUCUUACCAAUAAUACUCUGAAAUGCUCCGACCUCCCUCUCAAGGGAUGCCUCUACGGACUCAAUCAUGGCCCUCAGGCCUAAAACCCCAUCUCGUCCAAACUCCACCAAUCAAUCCUGACCCAACAACCAGAGAAUCACAGGCAUCAAUUGCUAAGAACCAUGGUACUCAGUCCCUGACAUCUCUUCUCAAUCUGCUACAAUGUAUGGUACUCGAACCAUGACAUCACUCCUCAAUAUGCUACUUAGAACCUUUAGAAUACUCCCUGUAUUGAGUAUGGGUCCUCAGCUUUCGGUAGUACGGGCCCAUACUACCUGACACAUCUACCCAUACUUUCCACACGGACCAUCCCAGAGCUCCUAAGUAGCUGCUCAACCUUCUCGUUCACCAAUUCCGCUAUGCGUGCCCGCUCCUCAGCGAAAUGCUCUACUCCACCAGCGUACUCAUCUAGCUAAGGUCACUCCCACUUCUCCGCCAUCAGCUGCUGAACAGCUCCUAAUGAUGCCAGUCAUCUACCUCUUGAAUAUCGUCAUAUUCACUUGGUAGACGACUCCCAUCAUCGAGAGUUCCACAAAGCACGAAGCAAGCAACAUUCGGGCAUCGGAGAAUACAUAGAGCUCACUCUGGAUGAUAACUCCGCUUGCUCUGCUCUUUCUCAAGGUACCACCAAACUCUGCAACUCUGCCCCUUUCGGGUUUUAACUACUCUUCGAUAAACACCACAAUACUCAUCUGGGCGUCUCUCCUAGAUUACUCCUCUACUCAAAUCCCCUAAAAGGAUUUCAUCUGAAUAGUCUCACUCAUACUCAAAAGCACAUCACAUAUAACAGCAACUCCUAGACUAAGGCAUCACAAAUCAGGCCACUCUAGUCCUAAGAUAUGAAAUACCUAGCUUGUCUCUAGCAUGCAUAAUAUCUUAUAAAAUGUAUCAUAAAUAUCUCAUAACACAAAAGUAAGGGUAUUUUGGGAAAUCACCAUUCGGGCUCCGGCUGAUUGUACACACUGCUCUUUCUUGCUUCCUCUUUGAACUCUUAUUCACUUUUAGAAAAUCAUUUCUUUUGAAAAAUUUUUGUACUUCCUCAGCUUGAGUCCAGAUUUACCUGAAGGUGCAUCCGAAUCCCUCAAACCAAGGCUAUGAUACCAACUUGUAACACCGUAAUUUUUCAAACAAAAUUUUGAAAAUUAAAAUAGUUUAUCUCUUUAACACUUUUCAUAAAAAUCCCAUUUGUUUAAGUUACAACACAUAACUCUUUUGUUCAAUCAAUUAGUAAACCAGGAUCCUCAAACAAACGCUUCCCCCGGUGUGUACAAUCGAGCCGGUGUCGUCCCAUGAACCUGAGAAACCUGAAACACAUAACACAAGACACUGUAAGCACAAAGCUUAGUGAGUUCCCCAAAAUACCACUCUAACACAUAUUAGCCACUCAAGGCUAUAACUCUGUUGACCCUCUGGUCAGUGUGUCUCAGUGGGACCCUCCAGUCCCAACUCUCUGUGGACCCUCUAGCCCUAACUCUAUGGUCCCAAAGGUCCUAACUCUAAUAACUCUAAAUCAUGCAUAUCACAUAUCACAAUAAAUCUCAUAAAAUAAAUAGCAUACAAAUACACUGGCACAUAACUCUAAACCUAACUUUGUGGACCCUCUGGUCCUAGCUCUGUGGACCUUGCGGUCCUAACUCUGAUAUACACACAGCAUAAAUCACAUAGAAAUAAUGCAGUGCCACACAUCACAUAGAUAGCAUACAAUAACUCUGUCACAUAACUCUAUUACCACUCUAGGUAAAGUAUAGUGAGAAGACUCACCUGCUACUGCCGACUGAAAAGCAAGAUCACGCUGCUCCGACCACUGUCACGAACUCCACCACUGAAUCACCGAAACCAAUAAAUACCAAUGACAACCAAAAUACCCCUGGAAGUCAACUGGUCAACUCUUGGUCAAAGUCAAAGUCCUCAAUCAAAGCCAACCCUCCUGACUGACUCUACUCGCCGAGUCAACCCGUUGGCUCGUCGAGUCCCCAUGCUCUGAAACUCCCAUAACACGACUCAACUCGCCGAGUCGUCCCACGACUCGCCGAGUCCCACACCCUUGAGUCAAACCGUACUCAACUCAUUGAGUCAUCCCUUGACUCACUGAUUCUCAGCUUAACCAGAAAAGGUUAGGACCUCAAGACCAGACUCGCCGAGUCCAAGAACAGACUCACCGAGUCCAAGGCUAUCUUCAACCAACUCGCCGAGUUGUUCUUCCAAUUCGCCGAGUUUCUGCCUAUCUUCAUGCAACUCACCGAGUACACCCAUGUGACUCGCCGAGUACCUCCAUCUCUUAAUCCAUUUAGUGGCUUUCCAAGCCAUGCAGGGGCUCCAAUCCAUAGAUCUAUCCUUCCACAAGCUAUUCCUCACGUAAAGUUGCAAGCUUUACGUGAAUCCAAAGAGAUCUAAGCAUAAAACACUCUUGGGCUAGGAUUUGGGACAAGAAGGCUUCACUAACAACUCUUGGGCAUGAACUUUAUGGCUUCCUGGACCACUACAAUCCUAGAUCUGUGGUAGCAACCUCAGAUCUUACACCAAACUCGAGAUGGACCUCAUUUAUGCUCCAAAAACCCCACAAUUGAUAAAUCUAGAUGCACAAAAGCUCAAGAACAGAUCUCUUACCUCCAAUGGAAGCUCCUACAAGAGAAUGAACCAAAUCUAUGCAAAGCCCCUUGCGCCAAAUAUUCUUGCUCUUCAAUUCCCCUCCAAGAUUUCCUCCUCCAAGGCUCUAAUUACUCACAAAGGAAAGCUCACACGAAUCUAGGGCCUCUGGAACUCAAAGGGAAGGUAAAGAGGCUGGGGAGUGGGUAUUAUGUUCUUUAUAUAGGGCUCAACCCCCGGGAUUAGGGUUUUCUCCAUACAGCACCAACUCGCAGUGUCCACCCAUGCGACUCGCCGAGUUGGUCACUUAUCACGCGACUCGACUCGCCGAGUCUAUCCAUAGACUCACCGAGUCGACCUUCUUAUUUACACUUUUAGCCCUUCAACUUUACUUCUGAAAUUCCAGGAUGUUACAUGGAGUUAGGAGCAGUAGUCUUUGCACUGAAGAUUUGGAGACAUUAUCUCUACGGAACUAAGUGCACGAUCUUCACUGACCAUAAAAGCCUGCAGCACAUAUUUGAUCAGAAGGACUUGAACAUGAGACAACGACGAUGGGUAGAGUUGCUCAGUGCCUAUGAGUGCGAAAUCCGCUACCAUCCCGGCAAGGCCAAUGUGGUGGCAGAUGCACUUAGCCAAAAGGAGAGUUCAAGUCGCAAAGUGAAGACGCUGACAAUGACCAUCCAUUCCCACUUAUCCAUGCAAAUACGAGAAGCUCAAUUGGAAGACCUAAAACCAGAGAACGUACCGAACGAAGCCUUGAGGGGAAUGGAUAAGAAUCUUGAGAUCAGAGGUGACGGAGUCUAUUGUUUCAUGGACCAGAUCUGGACCCCAAAAUUCGGAGGUUUCAGGGAGGUUGUCAUGAACGAAGCCCACAAAACCAGAUACACUGUGCACCCGGGCUCGGAUAAGAUGUACUUGGAUCUCAAGAAGUUGUACUGGUGGCCAAACAUGAAAGCCGAAAUCGCUGCCUUCAUGGGCAAGUGCCUGACUUGCGCCAAGGUAAAGGUUGAAUAUCAUAAACCCACAGGUUUACUAAAGCAGCCCAAGAUACCUGAGUUGAAAUGGGAGAUGAUUUCUAUGGAUUUCAUUACCAAAUUACCUAAAUCUCCGAGUGGGUAUGACACCAUUUGGUUAAUUGUCGAUCGAUUGACAAAAUCCGCUCACUUCCUGCCGAUAAAAGAAACAUUCAAAAUGGAAAGACUCACGCGAAUCUACAUCCAAGAGAUAGUCCGAUUGCAUGGUGUACCAGUGUCCAUCAUCUCCGACCGAGAUAGCAGGUUUACCUCGAGAUUUUGGCAGUCCCUACAGAAAGCUCUUGGAACUAAACUAGACAUCAGCACAACUUAUCACCCUCAGACAGACGGACAAAGUGAGAGAACUAUCCAGACCAUGGAAGAUACGUUGAGAGCAUGUGUGUAACAGCCCGGAACCCCAUGUGUUAUUUAUUCAUAUAUUUUUGGUGUUUUGUGAGGGGACUCGACAAGUUGGAGCUCAAACUCACCGAGUAGGAUCGCGGUUUCGGACGCGGGUUCGCGCCUGGACUCGGCGAGUCCACGCUGUUUAAUGAAACCCUAAUUUCCCAGUCCUGAGCCCUAUUUAAGGGACCUUAUGGUCUUCAUUGCAGCUACCUUCGACCUUAGGAGCACCAGAGCAGCUGAGAGUUCUUGUGAGUGAGAUAAGAGGCCAUUAUUCACCAUUUUUGUGUGUAUUUGCAAGAAGGGAAGAGGAAAGCCAAGCUAAGGGAGUUGGGGAGCUUAGAUCUAUUCCCAUUUCAACAGAGGAAGCUAAUUGAGGUAACAUUCAGAGCUUAUUCUCGUGUUUUUCUUGAUAUGGCCAAAUCUAGGGUUUCUUCAUGCCUUGUUUGCAUUGUAUUUGGAGUAUGAGAGGUUCCAUGGGGAAAUGGUGCCUAGAUCUGGACNAGAGAGAGAGAGUUAUAGUAUUCACCAGUCAGAGGGUGUUGUGAUGCUACGGGGAGCCGUAGUAUUUGCUAGUCAAAGGGUGUUGUGAUGCUACGGGGAGCCGUUGUACUCACAAGUCAGAGGGAAGGAGUCGUGGUGCUACGGGGAGCCGUAGUACUCGCUAGUUAGUUGGCGUUGUGAUGCUACGGGGAACCGUAGUACUCACAAGUCAGAGGGAAGGAGUCGUGGUGCUACAGGGAGCUGUAGUACUCACUAGUUAGUUGGCAUUGUGAUGCUACAGGGAGCCGUAGUACUCACAAGUCAGAGGGAAGGAGUCAUGGUGCUACGGUGAGGCGUAGUACCCACUAGUUAGUUGGCGUUGUGAUACUACGGGGAGCCGUAGUACUCACUUGUCAGAGGCUGGCGUAAUGUUGUGGGAAGCCAUAGUACCCACUAGACGGCAAGAGAGUGGGAUGAUGGAGUGUUCUCCGAUAAGUGCAUGAUGCAGAAGAGUUUGGGGCUUGAGUAGCCCUAGUGUUGAAUUUUUGGAGCCUAGUGGUUAAACCAGGGCGAGACUGGGGUCUCCGUGUCUUUCGGGAGGGUCAUCGAGGCGUGCGGGAGAAUAUGCGCAGCAAACGCCAGAGGUUAGAGCCGAGUCGAUCUUCGAUUGGAUUGUAUUUUUAUGAGGAAAAGGGAAUUUCGUGACUUGCAUGUCACUGGGCCGUGAUAGUGGUCACGGGGAAGAAGUUAGUGAGAUGUUUUGGAUCAUGUUAUGUGUCACCUCUGGGGGUUCAGCUAAAGGGCCAAAAGCUGACCUGGUGCUUGGUAUCGAGGAUGAAUGCGAGAAAUGAGAUAGAGUUUACCAUGGUGAUGUCUGCAGACACUUCAGAGCCAGCGAAUGAUUCGGAUGCUCGAGGAUAUGUUUCAGGCUUGUGUAUUAGAUUUCGGGGGGGAAUCGUGGCCCGUAUUUGCCCUUGGCAGAGUUUUCCUACAACAACAGCCAUCAUUAGUGCAUCAGUAUGCCACCCUUUGAGCUGUUGUAGGGAAGGGAGUAUCGGACCCCAUUUGCGGGGAAGAGGUAGAGCAACGUGUGAUGGGAAGUACAGAGAUCGUGCUUUGGACAUCAGAGCAGAUACAGCAGGUCAGGCAGAGGUUAUUGACCGCUCAGAGUCGCCAGAAGAGUUAUGCGGACAGGUGCCGGUCCGAGCUCGAAUUGUUGGUCGGUGACUUUGUACUCCUGAAGGUCUCUCCUUGGAAAGGAGUGAUUCGAUUCAGGAAGAGGGGCAAGUUGGGGCCCCGAUAUAUUGGUCCUUUCCGAGUGAUCGCGAGGGUAGGCUGGAUAGCCUAUCGUUUGGAUUUGCCAGCAGAGUUGGGGCAGAUUCACGACACUUUUCAUGUGUCGCAUCUAAGGAAACGUUUAGCCGAUGAGUCGGCAGUGGUUCCAAUAGAGGAUAUUCAGGUGGAUGCGAGCCUGAAUUGUGCUAAGAGACCAGUGGAGAUCGGAGAUCGGAAAAUCAAGGUUCUGAGGAACAAGGAGGUACCCUUGGUUUUGGUUCGGUGGCAGCAUUGUAAGGGAUCCGAGAUGACCUGGGAGCCGGAGCGUGAGAUGCGUGGGCAGCAUCCGGAGUUAUUUGCAGAGCGAGACUUCGAGGGCGAAGUCUAGUUCUAGUGGGGGAGAAUUGUAACAGCCCGGAACCCCAGGUGUUAUUUAUUCAUAUAUUUUUGGUGUUUUGUGAGGGGACUCGGCGAGUUGGAGCUCAAACUCGCCGAGUAGGAUCGCGAUUUUGGACGCGGGUUCGCGCCGGGACUCGGCGAGUCCAAGGAAUGGACUCGGCGAGUCCACGCUGUUUAAUGAAACCCUAAUUUCCCGAUCCUGAGCCCUAUUUAAGGGACCUUAUGGCCUUCAUUGCAGGUACCUUCGACCUUGGGAGCACCAGAGCAGCUGAGAGUUCUUGUGAGUGAGAUAAGAGGCCAUUAUUCACCAUUUUUGUGUGUAUUUGCAAGAAGGGAAGAGGAAAGCCAAGCUAAGGGAGUUGGGGAGCUUAGAUCUACUCCCAUUUCGACAGAGGAAGCUAAUUGAGGUAACAUUCAGAGCUUAUUCUCGUGUUUUUCUUGAUAUGGCCAAAUCUAGGGUUUCUUCAUGCCUUGUUUGCCUUGUAUUUGGAGUAUGAGAGGUUCCAUGGGGAAAUGGUACCUAGAUCUGGACCUUAGUAGGUCCAGAGAGUCCCAAAUGCAAUUCUUUAUGCCUUUCCUUUUGAGUUGGAGACUUAGGUUUCCAUUUUAGAUGUCAUUUCAUCAAAAGAAGCCUUGUAGGCAUUGCUUGGUAUCCAAGAUUGAGACUUUACGUGAUGAAUGUGCUUGGGAGGGCUAGAUCUAUGAGUUCUUGGAGCGGAUCUGACCUUAGAAGCGAGAUUAAGUCGAUGCAUGGCAUGGACUCGCCGAGUCCGAAGAACAGACUCGGCGAGUAGCAUGAAGAUUGUCCUAACCACUCAGCGAGUCGUCUUGCCGAGUUAUGGGAUGACUCAGUGAGUCAGGCAGAAUUAGGGAGGGUUGAAAGGUGGACUGAGUCAAGCUGGAACUCGCCGAGUUGUUCUUGAGACUCGGCGAGUUGAGUUGUGGUGGCCCCACGAUUAUGCCAGGUGAAACUCGUCGAUUUAGAGAAAUACUCUACGUGUCAAGAGAGGAUCCAAGGGAGUCAGUGGACACGUGUAGAAUCGCCGAGUCACCCUAGUGUACUCGCCGAGUCCGGUUAAAGUUGACCGUUGACUUUUGUUGACUUUUAGGGUUUGGUUAGCGAUGUGGCCUUUGGGCCAAGAUAGGGGUAAAAUGGCCUUGUACCCUUAAGAGGGUGUCAAGAGAGGGUUGAUCCUAGACUCGAGAGUUAUAUUCAAGAGAGUAUUUGCCUUAUGUGUUAGGCGGUGUCAAGUUCGAGAUUCAAGUGUGGGGAUAUCUGCUUUCUGCUUGCCAGGUGAGUCUUCUCACUAUACUUUACCUUGAGUAGGUAACCAGAGUUAUGUGACAGAGUAUUUGUAUGCUAUGUGUUGUACUGCAUUAUUUCUAUGCGAUUUAUGCUGUGCAUGUUUACAGAGUUAGAACCGGAAGGUUCCCAGAGUUAGAACCGGAAGGUUCACAGAGUUAGAACCAGAGGGUUCAUAGAGUAGGGUCCAUGGACCCAUAGAGUUAUAGCCUCGAGUAGCUAAUAUGUGUANGGUAUUUUGGGGAACUCACUAAGCUUCGUGCUUACAGUGUUUUGUGUUAUGUGUUUCAGGUUUCUCUCAGGAUCACGGGACGGCACCAGCUCGAUUGUACACACCAGAGAAAGAGUCAUGUUUUGAGGAUCCUGAUUUAUUAUGCAAGUGAAAAUGGAGUUAUGUUUUGUAAUUCGAUUAUGAAUGAGACUUUCAGCAAAGUGUUUUUUUAGAAUUAAACGAUUAUUUUAAAAUGAAAAAUUGUUUUGAAAAUUUCGGUGUUACAAUGUGUCAUCGAUUUCGGAAAAUCGUGGGACACUCAUUUACCUUUAAUCGCGUUCUCGUAUAACAACAGCUACCACACCAGUUUCAAGGCUGCCCCAUUUGAAUCCCUCUAUGGUCGAAAGUGCAGAUCCCCUCUGUGCUGGGCCAAGGUAGGAGACACGCAGCUAGCUAAGACUCGAGUCCCCGACAGUGCUCUCACUGGUCCAGAAAUUAUCUGCGAAACCACUGAGAAGAUCAUCCAAAUCCGAGACCGAUUGAAAGCCUUUAGGGACAGGCAGAAGAGCUACACCGGUAAGCGACGAAAACCAUUAGAAUUCCAGGUUGGAGAUCGUGUCUUGUUGAAGGUCUCGCCCUGGAAAGGCAUGGUACGUUUUGGAAAGCGCGAAAAACUUAAUCCGAGGUACAUAGGACCUUUCGAGAUCCUCGCUAGGAUCGGUCCUGUAGCCUAUAAACUCCGAUUACCUCAAGAGCUUAGCAAGAUCCAUCCCGUAUUCCACGUCUCUAAUCUUAAGAAGUGCCUAUCCGAUGAAACCCUCGUGAUCCCUCUUGACGAGAUCGAAAUCAAUGAAAACCUGAACUUCGUAGAAGAACCAAUCGAAAUCAUCGAUCGGGAGAUCAAGCGUUCAAAACAAAGCCGCAUCCCGAUAGUGAAAGUUCGCUGGAAUGCCAAGCGAGGUCCAGAAUUCACUUGGGAGCGCGAAGACUCAAUGAGACAGAAGUACCCCCACCUUUUCAAAAAUCCAUGAUUGUAUUCGUAUUCCUGAAUUUCGGGACGAUAUUCCUUCUAACGGGGGAUAAUGUGACAACCUGAAACUUCUAUCCUAUGUAAUUGAUCCGUGUAUCAGCAUUAAAACUUGAAUUCAUCAUCUGUUAUCGAAUCUUGUGGUUCCACAUGGGUGCUCUAGGCUUAGUAUAAUCUAGAUAUAAGUCUUGGGAAGGGUUAGAAGGUGUUUAGCAUCACAAAAUCGGGUCAAACUCAUCAAAGAAGUUGUGUACGGCCACACACCUGUGUGUGCGGCCACACACCUGUGUGUACGGCCGCACACCUUUGUGUGCAGCCACACACCCAACCGCAAACACUCUCCAGUCACACACCCAGCCGCAAACACCCCUCAGCCUCACACCCAACCUUAUUUAUGUGUGGAUACCCCCUUCAUUCACUUCUUUCUUCUCUUGAAUGCACCCUUUUCCUCUCUCUCUACUUUCUCUCUCUAAAAACAUCAACCAAGAACACUUUGAAGGCUUCAUAACUGUGAUCUACUCCAUCAUCUAGCUUAUUAUAAUGGUAAACACUUGAAUCCCAAGCUUGAAACUCAUCAUGUUCAUCGUCCCUUGAAGGUGUACGGCCGCACACCUUCAUAAGGGGGCAGCACACAUUCCAAACUCCCAUAAGUGAAGACUAAAGACUUCAAAAAUCAACAUAUGGACUCAAAUGAGGAGUGUACGGCCGCACACUCCUGUGUACGGCCGCACACACCCUCUGUACGGCCGCAGACUCUUGUGUGCAGCUCACACACAACCCUGACCAUAUUCCCCAACCGCACACUCACUUGGAUGACCAUACACCCACUCUAAUACCCAUAUUUGGCCCUAAACUUGCACAGAUCACUAUGUUUGGAACAUGAGACACUUAGUCUUAGUGAUUCCAAGCCCUAAGGAUACUUUCCCAUCAUGUUUAGUCAUGAAACACCUUAGUUCUAACUCACUUAUGUGUCAUCACAUGAAUAAUAGGGGCCACUUGCGUUCAGGGCAUCCGUUGACAUUCAAACCUUACGUUAAACUGUGAGUUCAUACCCCUACACCUUUUUCCGUGUUUUUCAUGUUUUCAAGGGGGGGGGGGGGNNNAGGGGGGGGGGGGAAUACAAGCAAUAAUACAAUGGAUCUUGUACUUAAAACUUAUUAUCUCGUAUGAAAUGUUUUCAUGACACAUAUGCUUUCACACCGAAUACUAUCUUACCAACCAAUUAUGAACUUAACUGCGGAAUUUGGUCUUUCAAAACUAAAACAAAGAUUCUUGUGAAACUCAUUAUAAAAUGCUAUGUUUUAUAUUUCACAAGGGAUUCAUGACAUUCAUAACACGGAUUUUCUAUAUUAUUACUUGAAAAUUUGUUAUUCUUACAAUUGGAGACAUGUCCUUGGUAACACUCCCCGGGUAUGAGAGUGUAGGAAUACCUUAUAACCAGAAUCUCCUGGAGGGAGAACGUGACUUUUGUGUAUAGAUCUAUACGGGGCUGACUACCCCGCACCUUGCUGCUAGCUACAGUGGGACCGACGGGUCUACGGGUGACAAAAGUCAUAAAUUGAUACUGACCUUGUUUCGAGUCAUAUCUAGUCUAUCGUAUGGUUAUAGAACUCGCAACUUAGAUGACAGAGAUUUACUUAUAGUAAUAAUGAACUUAGUUAACUAACCUCAAAGUAACAACUGUUUUCAUACUAAAGGGUAUCGGUAAUACCCUUAGGUAUUAGUUCACUACCUACGAAUUAGUUUUAUAUACUUGUUAAAACUAAUGUACUUUUCAAGGAUAAUCAGACUUUUAGGGAAACUUUACUUAACAAUGCAAGUAUGGUGGAUACUUGUAAACUACAUUCCGGAUCGAUAAAUAAACACCUACUUUUAAGGAAAAUAAGGGUUUUUCCUAUGAUUUCUUAACUUUUCAUAAACAGGCUGUUCAACAGAUAGUUAACUAAACUUCUUUUAUAAGAAAAUAUGAGAUUUUCUUGGGAAAUAACUUUUCAUAAAACCAAAUGAACGUUUUCUUUCACCAGAAACAAACCGCUUAUGAACUCACCAGCUUUAUGUUGAUAUUUCAAAACUGCUUGUAUUCUCAGGUCCUCGUUAGACAGGUAUCCCACAUACUUUUGGAGAAGACGAAGCGUGUUGAAAUGUCGUCUGGUCUCUUGUUUAUAUAACAUAUAUGUAUAACACUUGUGUUACUUUGUCUUGAAACAAAUGUAAUUAAUCUUAUGUAAUGUAAUGGUUGUGUUUACUGUGCUUACUAUGUACAUUGGUUGUGAUACUACACAUGACGUCCUCCACCCCAGAACGUUUUCCGCCAUUGGUUUCGGGGUGUGACAUCAGGAGCAGAUAACGGUUCUUUACCGUUAACUUAUUCAACUCCCUAUAGUCAAUGGACAUCCUGUGCGAACCAUCCUUCUUCCUGACGAAGAGGAUCGGUGCUCCCCAGGGUGAGCUACUCGGACGAAUAAGCUGCUUACCUAGCAGUUCCUGCAACUGAGAUGACAGCUCCUGCAUCUCCGGCGGUGCCAAACAAUACGACGCCUUGGCGAUAGGGGCCGCACAUGGCACUAGAUCAAUCCUAAACUCAACCUGCCUCACCGGAGGCACUCCGGGAAACUCCUCUGGAAAUACAUCAGCAAACUCUCUAACCACAGGUACUUCUGAUACAAAGAGCUGCUCUCUAACUCGCGUAUCUACCACAUAUGCCAAAUAACCGGCACACCCGUGCUGAAUAUACUGUUGAGCCCUGGCCGGCGAACAGAACUCUGAUCCCGACCUGGUGCCCUCACCAUAUACCACCAAUUCUCCCCAACUUGGGGUUCGAACCACCACCCGCUGACCCUCACAGUCGAUCAUGGCGCCAAAACUGCUAAGCCAAUCAAUUCCCACAAUCACGCAUACAUCCCCCAUUGGAAUAGGAAUUAAAUCUAUCGGGAAAGACACUCCGAAAAUCUCCAACAUGCAUCCUCAGUAGACUGAAGAAGCAGAAAUCCCGUGCUCGUUGGCGAUCGAAACUCGCAACGGGCACUCAAGAUCAUCUAUCAGCACACCGAACCCUCUAGAUAAGGUCUGAGAUACGAACGAAGGACUCGCCCUCGAGUCAAAUAAAACCAAAGCAGACAAAGAAUUUACUAAAAACGUACCUGAUCGUAGGUACAACCAAUAAGCAUAGCACAAAUACAACAACUGAGAUAGAGAAUAGAAUCAUACCAGCAACCACAUUCGGUGUUGCCUUGGCCUCCUCGGCCGUGAGCUAGAAGGCGCGACCCUGAGCCUUCGGAGGCACCAUCUUGACUGGCCUCCCAUCUCCAAUCCUCACAGUAGCUGGCGCGGAACCCUGCGCCGGCUUGGCGGCGAGCUACGGACAAUUGGUCUUCAUAUGACCAACCUGAUGACAAUGGAAACAAAUCCUCAUAUCUGCUGGAGGGGCGGACUGACGACAGUCCCUGGUAUAGUGCCACUCUUUGCCACACCUGUGGCACCCACCUCCUGCUCGACAAACCCCUGAAUGAGUGUUGCCACACUUUCCACAAGUGCGGCUUUGAUGACCCCCAGACCGUGUAUCAACGGUUUUAGACCGCUUAGGCGCCGACUGAGACUGUGCCGGUGCCUGACGCUGCUCCUUCAGCUGAAGCUCUAUCUCAAACUCACGCUGCCGCGCGGCUUCCUGUAGGUCCAGGAGGGUAUCACAUCACUGAGUAAACACAAACUGUCGAAUAUCCGUCUAGAGCAUACUCAGAUAACGAGUCAUCUGAGACUGCUCUGAAGCAAACUCCAGGCAAAACAUAUCCCUCUCCGUGAACAUACAGGUAAUCUCCAUCACAGACUCUCCAUCCUGUCUCAAGGUCAAAAACUCCUGAGCAAGCUGCUCUCGUUCCACGCGCGGAACGUAGCGGGUGCGAAACAUAUCCCGGAACUGCUCCCAGGUAAUCAGUAUACAACCCAGUCGUCGGCCUCCACCAGUCCUUCACCCCAAGCCUCAGCAGGUUCAGGGCACACCUGACCUUCUGGUCAGCAGGACACGAACACGUGAAGAAACAUCCCUCCACGUCAGAUAACCACCUCAUAGCCUGAAUAGCAUCCUGUGUACCAUCAAAUGUCGGGGGCUUCAUAUUGUCGAAGUCCCGGUACUGGAAAGCCCUGCCGGCUCCUCCUCCUUCAACCCCUGCAACUGUUACAGCCGAAGUGGCUGCAGCGAUAGUAGUCUCUGCUAGAGCGGCAUACCGCUCAUCAAAAUACUCGACCAUCGCGGUCUUAAUCGACCAAAACAUCUCUGGCAGCUGCGCUCAGAACGCAACAACAAUCUCAUCGUGCAUGAUCUCCUGAAUCCGGGCAUCCAACUCCUCAGUCCCUAUCUGAACCACGGGCUCAGGUGCCACCGGUACCUCCAAUCCUCCGUCUCCCGACCCUGAUCCUGAUCCGGAUCCGGAUCCCGAUCCCGAAGCAAUACGUUUCGUCACCAAUUACCCUCAAACCCUAGGGGUUUUGACUUCCUUGAUACGCGUAUGGGUCCUAUGCUUUCAGUAGUAUGGGCCCCUACUACCCUCCACACCUACCCAUAUUUGUGUCAAGUAUCACCACAACGCCCUAAACUGUAUCUAACAUAAUAUGCGCUCAACCCUCACUAACAGGGGACAUCGCCUAACUAGUAACUGAUCCUGCAGUUCCGCACCACUCACAUAUCCAUGAAACUUCCAUCAUCCCCUGCAGCGCUAGUGUACACUGGCUGCACGUAGUGCUGGACCCGAUAAACUUUCGAAUAUCCGAUCCUUCACUAAGGUCGAAUCGGACAUUCUCAGGCUAUAAGAUCUUGACUAUCCACAGCCGUGGUGCAUACACUGAACAUCUACAGUUAUGAUGUCAAUCCCAUAUACAAGAAAUCCUAGGCUAAUAGGUAUCAUACAAUCAGGCCAAUCUAUCAUGCGAUUCCUAAAAAUACCUAGCCUAGCACUAGCAUGUUGUUCUAAUCAUAUCAAAAUAUCAAAUAACUGUAUGGUAUUUUGGGGCUUACUUAUCGGCUCUGGCUGAUCGUACCUUCUGCAUCCUCCAUCCUUUAUUUUGAAAACCACUUUUAAAACUUAUUUCCCAAAAAUCUCCUUGGUUUGAGACUUGAUUCACAUGAGUGUUCCUCCAAUUCGCUCAAACCAAGGAUUUGAUACCAACUUGUAACACCCAUAAAAUUUACGCCAAAUUUAAACUUUUAAUACUAACAAAAGAGUCAAAUAGUAAUUGUUUUUUUACAAAACAUUUCCAAUUCAUUUAUCAUCAGAGUGUCCCAAAAUAGAUCAUGAGGAUGAGGAGCGGUACGGUCACUCCUUCGCCUUCCCUCGCUCUCCUGAAGUACCUGAAACAAUAAACUGAAAACUGUAAGCCCGAGGGCUUAGUGAGCUACCCCCAAAAUACCAAUACCACACUGGCCGAAACCAUAGCCAUAACGAUCAAUCAAACAACAUACAUAUUGGGCCAUCGGCCGGACUAGUCCGCCCUACUAGGCCUACAGUCUAUCAGAAUCUAUCCCGAGCCUUCGGCAUGACUGGUCCGCCGCGUGGGCCUACAGUCUCCCCGGACCGCUCAGAGGGUGUGUUGGCCUUCAGCACAAAGUAGGACCGCCUCAACCUAAGCAACAAGCAACUAACCGUGUAUGCAUACUAUCAUAUACUGGAAUGUACACAUAGCAAACAUAUCUAUCUCAUUGACCAUCAAUCAUAGAGUUUCACUCAUACCUAGAGUAUUGACUUAACAGGUCACUAACAUACCAAUCCUCACAGAUCAUAAAAGCAUAACAUACUAUCUAUCCUGAUUCCGAUCCAAUAGAUCAGAAUCUUAUGCAGCAUACCAUAACUACCGAUCUCUAGUAUAACAACCAUCCUAAACAGGAUAAAUUCUAGCAAAGCAAUAACAUAACACCCAUCCUAAACCAGGAUGAAAUCUAGCAUGGCAAUAAUAAAGCAACCAUCCUAACCCAGGAUGAAAUUCAUAAAGGGCCGUCCUUGGUGCCGUAGACCCUAUCGAUAUAGUGAGGAUAACUCACCUCGCAGAUGUCGAUAGAAAUGCAAACUCCAACUAUCGGAUCACUUGGCACCAGCUCCACCACCUAUAACCAUAGCACAAUAUACUCAUAAGUUCUUACUAUUAUGAGACACCCCAUAAUCACUUAGUAAUUCCUGNAUGUCGAUUGAAAUGCAAACUCCAACUAUCGGAUCACUUGGCACCAGCUCCACCACCUAUAACCAUAGCACAAUAUACUCAUAAGUUCUUACUAUUAUGAGACACCCCAUAAUCACUUAGUAAUUCCUGAUCGAGGUCAGAGUCCUCAGUCAAGGUCAACAGUCCAUGUUGACCUCAACUCGCCGAGUGCACUCGACCACUCACCGAGUCCAAGGAGCACAUUCCAACUCGCUGAGUUAUUGGAGUGACUCGUCGAGUUCCUUCGAAUCCUGAUAAAUCCUUAAGGGCCACCCGUCGAGUUUCCUCCUUGCAACUCGACAGGUACACACGUAUGCAUAAUCAAAGGAAAAACCAUCCGACUCGCCGAGUUGUUCUUCAACUUGUCUUUAUGGUGAUCUACAUCGGACUCGCCGAGUUUUUCAUCCAACUCGCCGAGUUCAAUGACCAUCUUCAUGUGAAUCGUCGAGUACAUCCAGUCCUCUCCCCAUACAUACUUGUUUUGAGCCAUGCAGCGGCUCAAAAUCACAGAUCCAAGCUUCUAGGGCAUACUUAGCACGUAAAGUUGCAAACUUUUACGUACAUGCAUGGUUAUAAAGGCUCCAAAUGUCUAUUUUAUGUUCUUAAUGGAGCUUUUAGUCCAAGAGGGACUUCAUCUACAACCAGUACAACAACUUUUUGACUCUAGCACCCAAGGAGGGUCCAGAUCUGAAGUUACAACUUCAGAUAUAGCCUAUAGCUCAACAUCCUAACUUGAAAAUCCAUAAAAAGCCCUAGAACUCAACAAGAGGAAAGAAAAGGAAGUAAGAAUGGCACUUUGAUACCUUCAAAAGAUGCUAGCAGAGGCAAAACCCGUUUCCCCCUCCUUUCUUGCUUCAAUUUCCUUUGCACUCUUAACUCCCUUCCUCCAAGAUUCUCUCUUCCAGGCUUUAAAACGACUCCAAGGCACACAAACACGGAUUAGGGUUUAUAGGGGCUCUCAAAGACUAUAAGGAAGUCCAAAGAAGGCUGAGGCUCCUUUAAAUAGGGGUGCAAACCCCGGGAUUUAGGGUUUCAUCUGCCAGCUCCUACUCGCCGAGUCCCAAUAGUAGACUCGCCGAGUAGGUNUUUUUCAUUUAAAAAUAAUCGUUUAAUUCUAAAAAACACUUUGCUGAAAAUCUCAUUCAUAAUCGAAUUACAAAACAUAACUCCAUUUUCACUUGCAUAAUAAACCAGGAUCCUCAAAACAUGACUCUUUCUCUGGUGUGUACAAUCGAGCCGGUGCCGUCCCGUGAUCCUGAGAGAAACCUGAAACACAUAACACAAAACACUGUAAGCACGAAGCUUAGUGAGUUCCCCAAAAUACCACACAUACAUAUAUUAGCCACUCGAGGCUAUAACUCUGUGGGUCCGUGGACCCUACUCUAUGAACCCUCUGGUUCUAACUCUGUGAACCCUCCGGUUCUAACUCUGGGAACCUUCCGGUUCCAACUCUGUAAACAUGCACAACAUAAAUCACAUAGAAAUAAUGCAGUACAACACAUAACAGGCAUAUAGCAUACAAAUACUCUAUCACAUAACUCUGAUUACCUACUCAAGGUAAAGUAUAGUGAGAAGACUCACCUGGCAAGCAGAAAGCAGAUAUCCCCACACUUGAAUCUCGAACUUGCCACCGCCUAACACAUAAGGCAAAUACUCUCAUGAAUAUAACUCUCGAGUCUAGGAUCAACCCUCUCUUGACACCCUCUUAAGGGUAAAAGACCAUUUUACCCCUCUCUUGGCCCAAAGGCCACAUCGCUGACCAAACCCUAAAAGUCAACAAAAGUCAACGGUCAACUUUGACCGGACUCGGCGAGUGCACUAGGGCGACUCGGCGAGUCUACACGUGUCCACUGACUCCCUUGGAUCCUCUCUUGACACGUCGAGUAUUUCUCUGACUCGACGAGUUUCACCUGGCAUAAUCGCGGGGCCACCACGACUCAACUCGCCGAGUCUCAAGAACAACUCGGCGAGUUCCAGCUUGACUCAGUCCACCUGUCAACGCUCUCUAAUUCUCCCUGACUCACUGAGUCAUCCCUUAACUCGACAAGACGACUCGCUGAGUGGUUAGGACAAUCUUCAUGCUACUCGCCGAGUCUGUUCUUCGGACUCGGCGAGUCCAUGCCAUGCAUCGACUCAAUCUCGCUUCUGAGGUCAGAUCCGCUCCAACAACUCAUAGAUCUAGCCCUCCCAAGCACAUUCAUCACGUAAAGUCUCAAUCUUGGCUACCAAGCAACGCCUACAAGGCUUCUUUUGAUGAAAUGACAUCUAAAAUGGAAACCUAAGUCUCCAACUCAAAAGGAAAGGCAUAAAGCAUGGCAUUUGGGACUCUCUGGACCUACUAAGGUCCAGAUCUAGGUACCAUUUCCCCAUGGGACCUCUCAUACUCCAAAUACAAGGCAAACAAGGCAUGAAGAAACCCUAGAUUUGGCCAUAUCAAGAAAAACAAGAGAAUAAGCUCUGAAUGUUACCUCAAUUAGCUUCCUCUGUCGAAAUAGGAGUAGAUCUAAGCUCCCCAACUCCCUUAGCUUGGCUUUCCUCUUCCUUUCUUGCAAAUACACACUAAAAUGGUGAAUAAAGGCCUCUUAUCUCACUCACAAGAACUCUCAUCUGCUCUAGUGCUCCCAAGGUCGAAGGUAGCCGCAAUGAAUGCCAUAAGGUCCCUUAAAUAGGGCUCAAGACUGGGAAAUUAGGGUUUCAUUAAACAGCGUGGACUCGCCGAGUCCUAGCGCGAACCCGCGUCCAAAACCGCGAUCCUACUCGGCGAGUUUGAGCUCCAACUCGCCGAGUCCCCUCACAAAACACCAAAAAUAUAUGAAUAAAUAACACCUGGGGUUCCGGGAUGUUACACACGUGUUCUUACCCCACUGCUACUCGACGAGUAGGUCGACCAACUCGUCGAGUAGAGCUUUUUUCCAAAAAUUCUUAAUAAAUAAAUACUUGAGGAUCGGGGCGUUACAUAGAGGAUGAAAACAAGGAGAAAACUAUUGAACAAUCCAAUGACUCCUUGAACUUUGAAUCUGUUGCUUCUAACUCAGUUACUCCUAAUAAACCUGAUGUUGAGAAGUACAUGCCACCAGCUGCUGAACAAACCUACUGUUGAGAAGUACAAGACUCCUUGAACUCUAAAUCUGUUGCUUCCAAUGACUCCUUGAACUUUGAAACAGCUGACCUGCUGCAAGUGUGCUUGUGGGAACAAUUAGAGACAAGGCAAGGAUACACCACCAGGGGUAGGAAGAAACAACUUCACAGUGAAGAAAAAGACUUGCUUUCACUGUGGAACACCUAGAAACAUUGCCAAAAAUUGUCCUAAUCGUGCAUAUGUUCCUUACUAUGUACAAGGCUGGAAGAACAGGCCAAGAGGGAGAUACUUGAAAAGAAACUCCUCAAGGUCAUGUUCAGACAAUGGCGACUGGAACGCGUAAAAGGCGAAAAAUCAAAAUCCCAAGGACAAGAUGGGAAAUUCGGCCAAGAAACCAAAUCCAAGAGAUGCUCCAGUGAAGCCAAGAUCGGUUAGGUCAAAGUCAUAUCGGCAGCUGACUACAAGUUCAAAAGAAAGUACUGAGCCACCCAUCAUAUCGAAAAAGAAAUGGGUUAAACCCAUCUACAAAUGGGUUCCGAAGGCUCAAUCUCCCAAAUCAUGUAAUGCUUCUAAUAUUUCUACAUCUUCUGUUUGUGACAAGCAGGAUAUGUUGUAGGAGAGAGUUCCUUGCGUUGAUGACAAAGGUCGACCCAGUUUCAAAAUGGACUGGGUUCCAAAGACCAAAUGAUCCCGCUCUGUGUCGGAACAACUAUGGAGGCAUAUCAUCACAAUUCGGUUUGUUGGUAGUGGUUGUUCCAGGCACAGGAUAGGAUGCAUCUCUCAACUGUACAACACUCAGAACAUUGUUUGAGAGUAUGUGUCCUUUGCGGGAAGGGAAGAAAGGAAGAGAUCACUUAUGGGUUUUGUGCUUAACGAUGUGAAGAAUUUUCGGAUCUGUUCUGAGAUUAUGCAUGCUAUUCUUAGACCUUCUGGAUGCAAAUUCAAUCGGUGACUUACAAUUUGAGUUUUCUUCUCGAUACUCCUGAGUUUUUCUUAAGCUGAUUCGCUUCAAAGAUAAAUUUUUGUUUUAGGAUAGUUUAAAUUUGCGCAUUUACUUUUGCUUCUCUCAUAUGCACAAAUUUAGGUGGAGAAAUAAAAACAAAACCAAAGUUAGAAAAUUUGAAAAAAAAAUCCAAAACAAUUAGAAUAUCAGAAAAUCCGAAAAUAUGUUGUUAAUGGAAUGUGCUUGUUGGUAUUAUUGGGAAGUGAUAUAAAGAUAAAGUGAUAACGGGUAGUCUAAAACAUGUGUAAGGGACUGAAUCUGAAUUGUCUAGACUCUGUGUUGAAUGUGCUAGUAGGCACGAAGGAUUUGACAGUGUGGAUUUAGAAAGGAUUGUUUGGACUGACCAUACGACGCUCGAUAAGAUUGAGUAGUGAGAUAAACACGGAAACCCACAGGAUACACUAAAUUAAUACGCAUCUAGAACGGUGGUUCAACUUUUCCUUGAUGUACGAACUUAUGUCCUUAAUUCUAGUUCUAAUAGGGCGACUGGGUGGUCCUGAUAAAGUAGGUCUGUAGGAUAUUAUUUUCUUGCUUUUUAUCUGUCAGUCAUAUGUUGCUUCCUCUGCGUGAUUGGAAGAGAUCCGACUUGGAUUGCAAUAUAUGCAACUCUAAUUCUACACAACUCCUUAUCUAUGAAAUUCUUUCUAUCUGUUAGUCAUAUGCUAUCUCCUCUGCAUGAUUGAAAUUAUCCGACCUGGAACACAGCAUAUGCAAUAUUCUACCUCUCAAUACCUCUAUCCUAGUUAGCCAUAUGUUGUCCCCUCUGCGCGAUUGAAAGAGAUCCGACCCGAGACACAACAUAUGCACCUAUUUCUAAAUCUUACUUCCUCCUUAAUAAUUGUCUACUCACCUAAAGUAAGGAGUUCUUUGGAAGUUCUUGAUAACCUGGGUAUAUCGGGAAGUGGGGAACACGUUCUAGUGCAACUAAAAUUGAAUCAUUAAGAGGUUGUCUGUAGAUCUCGCUGCUUAAUUUAAGUGGACAAUAAUACCCGUGGUCGUCGUCAGCUAAAUGGUUUAUUUAGAAAAGUUUUUCGAUAUCCUUCGUGUUUAAAUGGACCACAAUACCGGAAAUUGACCAGAUCAAUUCAUAAAGGUGAAGGUACUAAUAAACAAAAUUAAGACUGUCACAUAACUUUGAUCCCAAUUAUCUUUGUUUUUGUUAAAUGUGUUCAUAGUUUUCCUCUAUGCACAAAUUUAGGGGGAGAAUCAAAAAAACCAAACAAAAAUCAGAAAAUUUUAAAAUCCAAAAAUAGUGUUAUUUCUAUUUUAUUUCUUGUUCAGAAAAAUCAGAAAAUCCAAAAAUAUUUUUUUUCUGUUUUAUUUUUUUAGAAAAUAUGAAAAAUCCAAAAAUAUUUUGUGUUGAGUUUUAUUUUAGUUUUGUUUCUAUUUUUAGUUUUGUUUUGUCUUGAAAAGUGAAUUCAGAUGUAGAUGAGACUCAUGGAGACUGUAUCGAGAGUUUCUGAGUGAAAGCUUCAUCUGUGAUCAUCGAAGAAUUCUCAUUCGAAGGAGCAAGAAAUGAAGACUGUUCUUUCAACAUUCAAUCUUUCAACCCUAGAAGCAAGGUCAAGUUGUUCUUGAAGAUUAUGUAACAAUUUGCAUUGAAGCCUCCUCAAUCAAUUUGUUGUUAUCUAUGUACCUACUAAAUUGAUCUAGAAGAUUCGUUCUCUCUGAUGUUCUCUCUGAAGAUUCUCAAACUGAAAGCACUAUCUUUCAAGAAUCAGUACAAGAAGCCUCCUCGCCCAAUGUGCGUUUAACGUCAAAUUCUGCAGAAAAUCCCAAGUGCUCAAGAUGAAGUCAUUUAUUGAAGAUUCAUAUGUUCAUCUUGAUGCUGUGAAGAAAUUAAGAUUUAUGUUGAAGCCAAGCUCCCAAUGAAGAUUAACAAGAAAAGCAAGCUACUUUUUAGGGGGAUCUUGUUGGUUCAAUUAGAAAAGAAAGCUAUAAACCAAGGGGGGAUUGUUGGGUCAAAAAUAUGGUUUACACUUUACUUUUCUAGGAAAAUGUAUUUUUAUUUCUAGGACCGUAAACAACUUGGUGUUUACGGUUGUAUAUGUGUUUACGAUUGUGUUUACGACCGUGAACAGGUUUACGGUCGUGAACCUGUUCACGGCCCAUGUCUCAUAUAUAUAUAUAUAUAUAUAUAAGCUGAGGAGUGCAUGUGAGAGAGUANAUAUAUAGGGAGAGGAGUACAAGAGCAUAUGGUAUAGAGUGUAAGGCUAGAGAAGGAUAUCAUAUUGUAGAGAGAGAAACUAGAGAGAAGAAUAGUGUGUGUAUGAAUCUCUUAUAAGGAUCUUAAUUAAUAUCAUCAAUACAUUAGAUUCAUAUUAUUGUUCUUCUCCUUCUUCUUCAUUAGAUCUUGCAUCAUCCGUUUGAUUGGGAUUCCACACCAUCAAACGGAUCUGAUUGAUACACAAGCAGAUUUGGGGGCUUACAGUUUGGGGUGAUGGAGGCUCCAAAUAAGACCAACCUUUAGAGGUUAAAGUGUUUAAAUAGGGUGCAAAACCCUGAAAAUUAGGGUUUCACUCUAGCAGCCCUACUCGUUGAGUUGAGGCUCUCAACUUGUCGAGUACAAUUCAAGUCUCGCGUCCAAAUUCCAUUCCUACUCGAUGAGUUUGGGGCCUCCAACUCGUCGAGUCCCUUUUCAAAAAUGAAUAAUUUGAUUUAAAAUACUUAUCAGGAUCCGGACGUUACACAAUAAAGGACAACAAAGCAUAAUCCCUAGAUCUAUGGAUAAUAAUCAUAAAUCACAUAAUAUGGUUAUGAUACAUACCUUUAAGAUUGUUAUUGUAAUCAAUCUUGAAUCCUUGCUUGAAAGACCUUUGGUAGUAAGCGUCACAAGUUUCGUGCCUCUAAUGGUUCACAAACAAACUCAUGCAGCCAAUGAAUUUUAUAUAUAUAUAUAUAUAUAUAUAUAGAGAGAGAGAGAGAGAGAGUGUGUGUGUGUGUGUAUGUGUGUGUGUAAUGGAAGAGAAAUUUUGGCCCUUAGGCUCUUGGAGGAGUCAUGGCCGAAAUUUAACCUGAAUGAGGGUUUAUAUAGUUGUUAGAAAGGUAUUGGAUAAGGUAGGUGUAUCCAAGAUAACCCUAAUCCCUUCACUUCCUCCCUAAGGCAUCCAAAGCACCCUUAGAGCCCAAGGAAACCCUAGAAGCACCGAGAAUUCAUUCCCCCUACUAUAGGGAGGUUCUAGAAUCUCCUAAUGCUCAACCAUUGAACAUUGUCACCUUUAGUCCCUGCAGUUUUAAUUAAUUCCUUUAAUCCCAAAAUUAAUUCCAAUUUAAUUUCUAAAUGAUUUGUAAUUAAUAUAUUAUUUCCAUAAUACAUUAAUAAUCAUUUAUUUUGAUUUCUAAUUAAUUUAUUAACCAAGUAAUAAAUUAAUAAAUCAUUCUUUUCUCUUUAACAGUCAUCCUAUUCAAUUGUCAGGUUUGAAGGCAACCCAAAAGGACCAUGCUAAUAUCAAUUCAAGUAUAUACCAAUUAUAAUUAUGUGCUUAGACACCUAAUCCAAUAGUUUCCCACUUGGAUAAGUCUAAUAACUAUAGCUGCAAGUAUAACUUCAAAAAUUAACUAGCAAAUUUUAGCUACCAAAAGCCAAUGUCGAACUCUGACCUAAUCAGUAACGUAUCCUUAGAUAAGUGAUCAAAUACUCCUUCGUUCUACAAGAUAUUAUAUAGACAUUAGACAUGGGUUAUAAUCAAUCUCAUUGUCCAAGUUUUGUUUCCCGAUUUCUGAUUUAUGACAAUUGAUAUUAGACUAAUAAUUGAACAUAUCAAUUUAGUCCAGGCUUGGACAAGCGCUUUAGAAGUCAUCAUCAAAUCAUUGAGGGGCCCACAAAUACAUCUUUCGCCGUUUGGGAAAAAGGAACGGAUAAACUUCGACUUAUAUUCUUGCACUAUUCACUCAUCAAAUCACACACACCAAUACAUUUUAUAACUUCAAGCUACUGAUGCGUUUAUGUAUUAUCAAUACACAACUGACUCAUAAACAACAACUCAUAUAUCUAUGUUUCAAGAAUAUAAGAUAUUAUCGUCUGGAAAUUAUUCGUGAUAAAAUCCAUGAAGUAAUUCUUUGAGCGUGGGUUAAUCCAAUACAUAAAUCCCAUUUCAAAAGUACUCAUGAAUACUGCAACAUGCCAUUGAUAUGUCUAACCCCUUAGACAAUCUACAAUCUGAUUCAUGACAGUCUCAAUUCACUACUUACUUCCAAAAGUAUGAUGACUAUAGAUGUUUGAAUAAUCAAAUUAUUUGGGAAUUAAAACAUGCGAAAUGAAACACAAUAAUAACGAAAUUAACUAUGGUCUCAAAACCAUUGAAUAUAAAUAAAACACUUGUUAUUUAAUUGCCAUAUGAAAAGGGAUGUCGUAAUCAUAUUGCGAAUUUAAGAACAGAAUUAUCACAAAUGCUAAUCAUAAUGAUAUUUAUCUUUAAAAUUUACUAGCGAAAGUGUUUCCUCAUAAUCAUUUUCAUCAAUUAGAACAAAACCUUUUGCCAGAUAGAUGUUAUGAUGUCCUAUCCAUGUGAAUUUAUCAAUUCAAACCUACAGUCAUAUGAUAAGGUAGAGGACAAAACCAAAAUCAAUUUUAGGUUUUUCCUUUCAUGAAUUGAACUUGAUUAUUCUUAAUUUCUUGCCUUUUGGUAGCACAAGGACCUACCAAUGCUUUCGUGUUGUCAAGCAGCUCACUUCCAUUGACCAAUGUACCAUCACUGACCAAUGUCCUCUGCCAUUUGCAUUCAAAUGAGAAGCAUAGAACUCAUAAGCAUUGCCAACUCAACUAGAAGAUGCACAGAAACAAGAAUGUGUUAACUUAAUGAUGGGUUUUAGCCAUAAGAACUUUCUUAUGUGCGCAUGCAAAACCCUAAUGCUUGGAUCUAGGCUUUCUAAUUAAACAUGCUUUGAAUCCAAGACUUCUAAUGACUAUUUAGGUGUAAUAACAAUAUUGAAACAGAUCUAGAAUCAUACCUUUGAAUUCCUUGUUGAUAUUGUUGUCUUGGAGCUUCUAGUGUCACAAUUGUCACUCCUCUAAUGGCUUACAAACACCAAAUAGCAAGGAGGAUGAUUUGGGAGAGAGGAGAGGGGAGGAAAUCGGCCAGGGUUUUCUUACUUUAGAUGAAGUGCCGAUUUCCUUAUGCCAUAGGGUCUAUUUAUACUUGUAGACUCCUUAAGGGUUACAACCUAAACCCUAAUUGGAUAAUCUUCUCUUAAGGCUAUCCAAAUCCAUUCCUUAGAUAACCCCUUGGACGAUUUGAAGCUAUCCUUAGCUUCUAGAAUCUGUCUAAUGCAUAUCAAUAUGGAUUUAC